ACCUCACAAGAUCCGUGGUGCUUUCGUCCGCAAAGUGGUAGCUCAAGACCGCGGUAGCAUCGAGGUCUCUUAAAAAAGCGCCGAUGCGUUGGUGGUAAUUAAGGACUAGGGCUAGCCGUUCUUCCUCCCCCAUUGUAAGCGGUCGUCCUUCGGGCAGAUUUACAGGAGCCUGACCUCCCUGCGGGAGACCUCCCUGCGGGAGAUACGGGGCCACGGCGCGGGACAGGUCAUCAUCGCCCAUCAUAUUCAUACCACCUCCUAACAUCGGUAUGAAGUUGAUUUCUCGUUCAGUGUCAUUCUUUCAGAUGUGCGUUUUCUCGACUGUAACAUCUGAUGUUUCUGUCUAUCAGUCGUCCCUGCUACGAGAGGAUUCAUCUAGCUGGAUGAUGACGAUCAGAGGCAACCAGCUGCUGCGGUAGAACCUGUUGUGUCCGAGGUGCCCGUGGCGACAAUUGUUGUGGUGAGUGCUCCACUUGUUAGUUCAGUCGUUGUCAGCAAAACUCCAACUGGAUUGCAGUCGAGCGUUCCAGUUGUUUCUAUUGCGGCUUCAGGAUUGAUGUCUCCCGCGACCGUGUACACCACGUGUCGUGUCCCUCAGGAUCAGGCUGGUGCUGCCAAGGAUGCUAUGAUCCAGGCAGGACUGAUGAAGCAACAAGGAAGAGGAGCAUAUGACGCCAUCGUCUCUCUGUACAACAACAGCCUGGUGCUGGAAGAACACGUCCGAGUAAGUUCGACCGUAAGUUUGAAUUCUAACUCUCACCCACUGGUGGUUGCUUUUUUGUAGAAUUCUCUUUGUUUCAUUCAUGUUCCAGUGGGGUCACUCUGAGACCGCUGUCGAGUGCUUGCACAGGCAGUGGUCUUAAUCAGUAGAGACGUUCCUUUUUUCUUAUUCAAAACCAAGCAGAGCUGACCUAGUUGAAUUAUGAAUCCAGUAGGGGCACGCUAAGUGCACCGACUGGGUGUAGUCCCCGAGAAUAUUAUUAGUAGGGAUUGAAUGAUAAUAUUCUUAAGUACUUGAGUGUAUACUGUAUUUGACUCGACAUGGCAGACCUCGUCGAGUAUUAAACCAGUUGGGUCACGUCGAGUGAACCCGCUAGGUGUAGUCCCCGAGACUACUGUUGAAUGCGUUCAUAAUCAGGAGUCUGUAUUUGAAUGCUUGCAUUAUUUAUUGAAUGACUUGUAUUUUUCCACUCGGAAGUAGAUUAAUACUUGUGUCGAGUGAAAAUAAUUUUUCCACUCGGAUGUUUUUUGUAGAAAGCUUGUGAGAUUGGGUUGUAGUACGCCCAGGUGGAAUCUGAGAUGAACAAACUGAAGCUGGAAUAUGAUGCCAUGAAAAGGUUGCUGGAAGACAAGGAUGUGGCCCUUGCCAAUCUGAAGCAGAAGUCUGAAACUGAUGAAUUGAAGCUUGCGGACCUUGAGAAGUUGAAGCCAGAAAAUGAACAGAUGAAGAAGGAAAGGGAUGAAUGGGCGAAGAGACUCCACUCCAUGUCGAAAAGAGGAAAUGCCUUGGAAAGUUUUAUAAAAGACUUCCUCGCAAAGAUGGUUGAUUCUCUCAUUGGUAUGUUUUCUUUACCGAGUGAGUCUUAGAAUUUUUCAUCGACUGACAUGCAGCUGAUAUUUCGUUGGUCUCCUGUUGCAGAGUUUUGUCCUGAUUUCCAAAAAGAGACAUUCGAGGUGGAGCCAUACUUGGAUCCAAUCAAGUUUCCUAUUCCCGAUGACUUGGCCAUGAACAUGUAUCGCCUCAACUGCCGUCUUGUUAAAGUCCAAGGGUACUUCAGUCGUCUGCGAGCUGUUGUGGAACGAAUCGACAAGGAGCUAUGGCCUGAAGACACGUUCCUCGUCGGUCUAGAUGUUGUGAUGGAGCACCUGGGUCGUGUUCGAGAAAGUAUCCAAGCGUGGAAGAAGUCUACUACUCGGCGUGGGGCGGACGUAGCCUUGUCACUCGUGACGGUCCAUUGCAAGGAGACUCGGGAGGAGAAGCUGAAGGCGUUGCAGGUUGCGAACACGAAGAACCUUCGUUUUAAAGACUUCAUGGAGACUUUCAUCGAUCCGCAACUCUCAUCGCCGAUGUCAGCGACCUCGAUACCUUUGUGGAGCCAGCCAGUCCAGGUGAGCCUUGAUGAAGUUGAUCACUCGUGAGAAAAACAGUUAUUUGCCUCGGUAUGCCGAGUGGUUCUUGUAAACGCUUAAAACUUUGUUCGGGUGAUAACCGGAGUACUUUUGUCCGGCGCGGAUAACCUUGAUCUGCGCUAGGCAUUAUUUAUUUUCUCACUUUGACUGAAUGUGGUUUUAUCUUUGUCAAAUGAACCUUUCCUUUUCGGUGAUGCUCUUGGCAUACACCAAGUCAUCCCACCUAAGUGAACUUUGAUUCGCGAUUGGGUAGGGAUUCGGGCGGGAUUUCAUUACUUAGACGAAUCUGGUUCGCGGCUAAGCCUCCAAAUGAGAGGGUAGCUCUUCACACUACAGGAAUCACCUUCUUUGCCGUCUGCCAUCACAGACGGCAAAGGCUAAAUCCCGGACGGCAAAGACAAAACAACAGACGGCAAAGAAUCUCACGGCCGGCAAAAUUUCUGCGUCAGCCUACGACGGCAUAGGACCUUCUUUGCCGUCUGUCCCCCCAAAGCGGACAGCAAAGCUCUUUGCCGUCAGCUUUCCUCAGGAGCAGUCGGCAAAGUGCUCGAGACGGCAGCCGACAGGCGUUGCCUUCGUUAGGGUUUAACGGAGGCUUUGCCGUCUGCCUCCCGCUUACUCUUUGCUGUCUGCCUCCUCCUGCCCCCUCCACUCUUUGCCGUCUGCCUCCCCCUUGUUCUUUGCCGUCUGCCUCCUCCUCCUCCCCCCCUCCACUCUUUGCCGUCUGCCUCCUCCUCCCCCCUCCUUUGUGCCCUCUUCUUUACCGUCUGCCCACCCUGGAGGCAGACGGCAAAGAGCCAAUAUAGACACCCCAGGAUGCACAACUGGGUGCCAUGUGGCACCUUUGCCAUCUGCCAGCUGAUGGCACAGGUCUUUGCCAUCAGCUGGAAGACGGCAAAGAGCCCAUAUAUUUGACACCACAUUUAUAUAAUUGACAGCACAUAUAUGAUAUAUAUAGUUCACCACGCAUAUACUUGCCAACACAUAUAUAUAAUUCACCACACAUAUAUGAUAUACAUAUAAAUCAAUGUACAUCCCCAUAUAUCGAAAGAACCAACAUACAAAGUAUUGCACUGUUUAUCCAUAUAUACAUAUACAUAUAGUUCAACAUUGUUCAUCAACUCAAAUGAAAACUAGAUGAUAUACAUAUAAAGUUCAUCCAUCGACAUUGUUCAACUCCAUUAAUGCCAGCUUUGAUGCAUGUAGUAUAUCCAAUCUGCAAAAAUGUGAAUAAGAAAGUCAGAAGAAGAACAAAAUAUGAUGUUUUUCACCUAAUUAUGUCAUUUUUAGCAGAAAACAAGCUAAGAAUAUAAUAUUCAUGAGCUAACCAAGGUUCUUAUGCCAUUUUUAGCUUAUUGUGGCAUUUUGGAGCUAAAUGGGUUAAUUAAAGCAAGGAUAAUAUUAAAGAGGAGAAGAAAGAGGAGGAGGAGGAGGAGAUGAAGAAAUCAAGAAGAAGGAGGAUUAGGACUAGAAGGUCCUUGGCCUUCUCCUCCUCCUCCUCCUCCUCCUCAUUCUCCUUCUCUUUUUCUUCUUCUUCUUCUUGUUCUUUCUUUUCAUUUUGCCUAUUUCUUCUCCUCUUCUCCUCUUGUUGGAGCUAAAUUACCUAAUUAUGUCUUUUUGGAGCAAAAUGGGUUAAUUAUCCCAUUUUAGAAGAAAACAAGCUAAGUAUAUAAUAUUCAUGAGCUAACCAAGGUUCUUAUGCCAUUUUGAGCUUAUUAUGGUAUUUUGGAGCUAAAUGGGCUAAUUAUGUCAUUGUUGGGGAAAUUAAAGCAAGGAUAAUAUGAAAGAGGAGAAGAAAGAGGAGGAGGAAGAGAUGAAGAAGAAAUCAAGAAGAAGGAGGAGAAGGAGGAGGAGGAGAAGGACUAGAAGGUCCUUGGCCUUCUCCUUCUCCUCCUCCUCCUCCUCCUUCUCCUUCUUGGAAAUUAAUGCAAGGAUAACAUGAAAGAGGAGAAGAAAUAGGAGGAGGAGGAGAAGAAGAAGAAAUCAAGAAGGAGGAGGAGAAGGAGGAGAAGGAGGAGGAGGAGAAGGACUAGAAGGACCUUGGCCUUCACCUUCUCCUCCUCCUCCUCCUCCUUCUCCUUCUUCUCUUCUUCUUCUUCUUCUUCUUUCUUUUCAUUUUUCCUAUUUCUUCUCCUCUUCUCCUCUUGUUGGAGCUCAAUUACCUAAUUAUGUCCUUUUGGAGCUAAAUGGGCUAAUUAUUUCAUUUUAGAGAAAAACAAGCUAAGAAUAUAAUAUUCAUGAGCUAACCAAGGUUCUUAUGCCAUUUUGAGCUUAUUAUGGUAUUUUGGAGCUAAAUGGAAUAAUUAUGUCAUUGUUGGGGAAAUUAAAGCAAGGCUAAUAUGAAAUAGGAGAAGAAAGAGGAGGAGGAGGAGAAGAAGAAGAAAUCAAGAAGGAGGAGAAGGAGGAGAAGGAGGAGGAGGAGAAGGACUAGAAUGUCCUUGGCCUUCUCCUCCUCCUCCUCCUCCUCCUCCUCCUUCUCCUUCUUCUCUUCUUCUUCUUCUUCUUUCUUUUCAUUUUUCCUAUUUCUUCUCCUCUUCUACUUUCUCCUCUUCUUGGAGCUAAAUUACCUAAUUAUGUAUUUUUGGAGCUAAAUGGGCUACUUAUCUCAUUUUAGAGGAAAACAAGCUAAGUAUAUAAUAUUCAUGAGCUAACCAAGGUUCUUAUGCCAUUUUGAGCUUAUUAUGGCAUUUUGGAGCUAAAUGGGCUAAUUAUGUCAUUGUUGUGGAAAUUAAUGCAAGGAUAACAUGAAAGAGGAGAAGAAAUAGGAGGAGGAGGAGAAGAAGAAGAAAUCAAGAAGGAGGAGGAGAAGGAGGAGAAGGAGGAGGAGGAGAAGGACUAGAAGGACCUUGGCCUUCACCUUCUCCUCCUCCUCCUCCUCCUUCUCCUUCUUCUCUUCUUCUUCUUCUUCUUCUUCUUCUUUCUUUUCAUUUUUCCUAUUUCUUCUCCUCUUCUCCUCUUGUUGGAGCUCAAUUACCUAAUUAUGUCCUUUUGGAGCUAAAUGGGCUAAUUAUUUCAUUUUAGAGAAAAACAAGCUAAGAAUAUAAUAUUCAUGAGCUAACCAAGGUUCUUAUGCCAUUUUGAGCUUAUUAUGGUAUUUUGGAGCUAAAUGGAAUAAUUAUGUCAUUGUUGGGGAAAUUAAAGCAAGGCUAAUAUGAAAUAGGAGAAGAAAGAGGAGGAGGAGGAGAAGAAGAAGAAAUCAAGAAGGAGGAGAAGGAGGAGAAGGAGGAGGAGGAGAAGGACUAGAAUGUCCUUGGCCUUCUCCUCCUCCUCCUCCUCCUCCUCCUCCUUCUCCUUCUUCUCUUCUUCUUCUUCUUCUUCUUCUUCUUCUUCUUUAUUUUCAUUUUUCCUAUUUCUUCUCCUCUUCUCCUCUUAUUGGAGCUAGAUUACCUAACUAUGUCUUUUUGGAGCUAAAUGGGCUAAUUAUCCCAUUUUAGAGGAAAACAAGCUAAGUAUAUAAUAUUCAUGAGCUAACCAAGGUUCUUAUGCCAUUUUGAGCUUAUUAUGGCAUUUUGGAGCUAAAUGGGCUAAUUAUGUCAUUGUUGGGAUAAUUAAAGCAAGGAUAAUAUGAAAGAGGAGAAGAAAGAGGAGGAGGAGAAGGAGAAGAAUUCAAGAAGGAGGAGAAGGAGGAGGGGGAGGAGGAGGAAAAGGACUAGAAGGUCCUUGGCCUUCUCCUCCUUCUCCUCCUCCUCCUCCUUCUCCUUCUUCUCCUUCUUCUUCUUCUUAUUUAUUUUCAUUUUCCUAUUUCUUCUCCUCUUCUCCUCUUUUCCUCUUCUUAGAGCUAAAUUACCUAAUUAUGUCUUUUUGGUGCUAAAUGUGCUAAUUAUCUCAUCUUAGAGGAAAACAAGCUAAGUAUAUAAUAUUCAUGAGCUAACCAAGGUUCUUAUACCAUUUUGAGCUUCUUAUGGCAUUUACGAGCUAAAUGUGCUAAUUAUGUCUUUUUCGGGAAAUUAAAUCAAGGAUAAUAUGAAAGAGGAGAAGAAAGAGGAGGAGGAUAAGAAGAAGAAAUCAAGAAGAAGGAGGAGAAGGAGGAGGAGGAGAAGGACUAGCUAGAAUGUCCUUGGCCUUCUCCUCCUUCUCCUCCUCCUCCUCCUCGUCCUCCUUCUCCUUCUUAUCUUCUUCUUCUUCUUCUUCUUCUUCUUUCUUUUCAUUUUUCCUAUUUCUUCUCCUCUUCCCCUCUUCUUGGAGCUAAAUUACCUAAUUAUUUAUUUUUGGAGCUAAAUGGGCUAAUUAUCUCAUUUUAGUGGAAAACAAGAUAAGUAUAUAAUAUUCAUGAGCGAACCAAGGUUCUUAUGCCAUUUUGAGCUUAUUAUGGUAUUUUGGAGCUAAAUGGAAUAAUUAUGUCAUUGUUGGGGAAAUUAAAGCAAGGUUAAUAUGAUAUGGUAUUUUGGAGCUAAAUGGGCUAAUUAUGUCUUUUUGGGGAAAUUAAAGCAAGGAUAAUAUGAAAGAGGAGAACAAAGAGGAGGAGGAGGAUAAGAAGAAGAAAUCAAGAAGAAGGAGGAGAAGGACGAGAAGGAGGAGGAGGAGAAGGACUAGAAGGUCCUUGGCCUUCUCCUCCUUCUCCUCCUCCUCCUCCUUCUCCUUCUUGUCUUCUUCUUCUUCUUCUUUCUUUUCAUUUUUCCUAUUUCUUCUCCUCUUCUCCUUUCUCCUCUUCUUGGAGCUAAAUUACCUAAUUAUGUAUUUUUGGAGCUAAAUGGGCUAAUUAUCUCAUUUUAGAGGAAAACAAGCUAAGUAUGUCAUAUUCAUGAGCUAACCAAGGUUCUUAUGCCAUUUUGAGCUUAUUAUGGCAUUUUGGAGCUAAAUGUGCUAAUUAUGUCUUUUUGGGGAAAUUAAAUCAAGGAUAAUAUGAAAGAGGAGAAGAAAGAGGAGGAGGAUAAGAAGAAGAUGAAAUCAAGAAGAAGGAGGAGAAGGAGGAGAAGGAGGAGGAGGAGAAGGACUCGAAGGUCCUUGGCCUUCUCCUCCUCCUUCUCCUCCUCCUCCUCCUUCUCCUUCUUAUCUUCUUCUUCUUCUUCUUCUUCUUUCUUUUCAUCUUUCCUAUUAAUUCUCCUCUUCCCCUCUUCUUGGAGCUAAAUUACCUAAUUAUGUCUUUUUGGAGCUAAAUGGGCUAAUUAUCUCAUUUUAGAGGAAAACAAACUAAGUAUAUAAUAUUCAUGAGCUAACCAAGGUUCUUAUGCCAUUUUGAGCUUAUUAUGGUAUUUUGGAGCUAAAUGGGCUAAUUAUGUAUUUUUGGGGAAAUUAAAGCAAGGAUAAUAUGAAAGAGGAGAACAAAGAGGAGGAGGAGGAUAAGAAGAAGAAAUCAAGAAGAAGGAGGAGAAGGANNNNNNNNNNNNNNNNNNNNNNNNNNNNNNNNNNNNNNNNNNNNNNNNNNNNNNNNNNNNNNNNUUAGAGGAAAACAAGCUAAGUAUAUAAUAUUCAUGAGCUAACCAAGGUUUUAUGCCAUUUUGAAAUUAUUAUGGCAUUUUGGAGCUAAAUGGGCUAAUUAUGUCUUUUUGGGGGAAAUUAAAGCACGGAUAAUAUGAAAGAGGAGAAGAAAGAGGAGGAGGAGGAGAAGAAGAAGAAAUAUGGAAGAUGGAGGAGAAGGAGGAGAAGGAGGAGGAGGAAAAGAACUAGAAUGUCCUUGGCCUUCUCCUCCUCCUCGUCCUCCUCCUUCUCCUUCUUCCCUUCUUCUUCUUUUUUCUUUUUAUUUUUCCUAUUUCUUCUCCUCUUGUCGUCUUCUCCUCUUCUUGGAUCUAAAUUACCUAAUUAUGUCUUUUGGAGCUAAAUGGGAUAAUUAUCUCAUUUUAGAGGAAAACAAGCUAAGUAUAUAAUAUUCAUGAGCUAACCAAUGUUCUUAUGCCAUUUUGAGGUUAUUAUGGCAUUUUGGAGCUAAAUGGGAUAAUUAUCUCAUUUUAGAGGAAAACAAGCUAAGUAUAUAAUAUUCAUGAGCUAACCAAUGUUCUUAUGCCAUUUUGAGGUUAUUAUGGCAUUUUGGAGCUAAAUGGGCUUAUUAUGUCUUUUUGGGGAAAUUAAAGUAAGGAUAAUAUGAAAUAGGAGAGUAAAGAGGAGGAGCAGGAGAAGAAGAAGAAAUCAAGAAGAAGGAGGAGAAGGAGGAGGAGGAGGAGGAGAAGGACUAGAAGGUCCUUGGCCUUCUCCUCCUUCUCCUCCUCCUUCUCCUUCUUCUCUUCUUCGUCUUCUUCUUUCUUUUCAUUUUUCCUAUUUAUUCUCCUCUUCUCCUCUUCUACUCUUCUUGGAGCUAAAUUACCUAAUUAUGUCUUUUUGGAGCUAAAUGGGCUAAUUAUCUCAUUUUACAGGAAAACAAACUAAGUAUAUAAUAUUCAUGAGCUAACCAAGGUUCUUAUGCCAUUUCGAGGUUAUUAUGGCAUUGUAGAGCUAAAUGGGCUAAUUCUGUCUUUUUGGGGAAAUUAAAGAAAGUAUAAUAUGAAAGAGGAGAAUAAAGAGGAGGAGGAGGAGAAGAAGAAGAAAUCAAGAAGGAGGAGACGGAGGAGGAGGAGGAGAAGGACUAGAAGGUCCUUGGCCUUCUCCUCCUUCUCCUCCGCCUCCUCCUUCUCCUCCUCCUUCUCCUUCUUCUCUUCUUCUUCUUCUUCUUCUUUAUUUUCAUUUUUCCCAUUUCUUCUCCUCUUCUCCUCUUCUUGGAGCUAAAUUACCUAAUUAUGUCUUUUUGGAGCUAAAUGGGCUAAUUAUCUCAUUUUAGAGGAAAACAAGCUAAGUAUAUAAUAUUCAUGAGCUAACCAAGGUUCUUAUGCCAUUUUGAGGUUAUUAUGGCAUUUUGGAGCUAAAUGGGCUAAUUAUGUCUUUUUGGUGAAUUUAAAGCAAGGAUAAUAUGAAAGAGGAGAAGAGAAACUUACUGUAGUGGUCAUCAAGGAGGAGAAACACCACGGUUGCUCGCGCCGGCUUCGUUUGGAGACGGUUGCCCUGGAGAAGGGUCGUGCGAUGCCGCUCGGGAGUUAUUCUGCAGAAAAGAUAUUUUGCAACGUCUCAGUUAGCAUUGAUGACACUCAAUUAUUAAUACUAGUUUAUAAUGAAACGCACCGUGCCAAUCGAAGAGAAGACGGGCAUCGGCCGAGGGACUUGACCGNNNNNNNNNNNNNNNNNNNNNNNNNNNNNNNNNNNNNNNNNNNNNNNNNCGCUCUUCUCGCACAGACCCUAAAGAGUGGGUCGUAUUAGUUAGUAAUGAAACAGACAUUACACACAUGAUUUGGCUAAUGUGAAAAAAGCCAUACCACAAAAAGCUCGUACAGGGCCCGUUGACCCGCCUCAUUCCGGGCCCUCUCCUCCUCAAUCAAUCGUGCCAUGGUCUGGUCCCUCUCAUCAAGAGCAGCCUGAAGAGCAGCCUGGCUUGCCAAUAUCUCUUUCUCAAGAGCAACCUGGUUUGCCGCUCUCUCUUUUUGAAGAGCAGCCUGAAACACCAUUCCUCGUUACCACAGUAAUGAUCUAUGGUGACACACAUAAUGAAAUGGAUGAAAGUGUUCUUAGUCCAUACAACUAACCUCGAUGGCAAGUUCGACUGGCUGUGGACGACGUGUUAUCUCAGGACAGCUGCUCGACUGGCGCGCCUUGAUCUCCGGAAGAGUGAGUGGACAACGAAUUAUCCCAUCUCAAUGGCUAUCGAGCCAUGGGGCCUCCCGCCACCAGAUAUCAUCACCAGCUCUGGAUCCAAAGGUUCCUGGCUAGGGUUAAAGUCAUCCCCUUUCGUAGCCUUCCCCGCGUCCCGGUAUGCCACGAGCUUCUGGUGGGAUGAUAUGUUGGUGAAGUUAUUGGGAUCAUCCAGGUCAGACUCAGAGAAUGCCUUCGCCUUCUUGUACGAGGCAGCAUGGGCCAUGCCAUAAAGGUCGUACAAGUGUGGCAUCUCAAUCUUAUUGUGAUGUGCCUAAAAGAGAGGAACAAAAUAUUAGCAUCAAGAAUGAAUUGCAUGAAUCAUGAAGCAAAUCACAUACCCAGUUUCGUCCAAACUAAAGUAAGUUGGCGUUGCCUUGAUGGUGCGGCACACCAACCAUUUGGCUACGCCGAUCCUUCGCAUUCUCGUGGACGGCUCGCCAGCUGCCUGUGCACCACUCAUCAACCAACGCCUCCCAACAAUCCAUCUUAUCCGCACACCAUCUCGGGGGCACCUGUAAGUUAUUAGAAAGAAUUUUCAGCGCUACGCCUAUGAAUGAAAUCAAGAAAACUAGGUAGAAGGACUUAAGAAUAGGUAAUUACCUUCAUGUAUUGCUCCUUCUUCAGGAACUUUCCACGACAAUCCUUCUUCUGCUUCUUAAUACCACGCGUGGAGUAGUACUCUCGAAUAGCUUGCGGCCGAGCCUCGUGGCGCAAGUUCUGUAGUAACCACCUACACUCGGCCUCGAGAACCCUGGCCGCCUCCUCCUCAUAUCCAUCCUCACACCUAUAGAAGGUCUGCAAUCAAACGUGAAAACACCGAUUAGUACAAUAAUUAGCUAUAUUAUUAAUUUUAGAUUCUGUAAAAGGAUAAUUUACCCAAAAGCUCUUGAUCACCAUGUCGGCCCUCGUGUGGCACAAGACACCAUCUAUAAUCUCCUUCGGUGGGGCCUGCGCAGCCUGGUAGUGCUCCCAGGAAAAUCUUAGUGUAGGAACUGACCCUCACCAGGCAACCUGACAAACCCCGGGAAAUUUGUCCGGCAAAGCACACCAAGGACGGAGUUCGGCCUGCGGACUCCAAGAGGGUGUACCCAUCCCCUACAGUAUCAUAAGGUCAACGCAUUAGAUAUUUGAACAAACUUGAAGGCAAAAGCAAAAAAAAGGGUAAAUGUACUUACCUAUCUCCUUCAGGUUUAAUCACCGGCCUGUGCUCGCGGGUAGCCGGGGAGACCGGGAGACGUGUACUACCACGCUUGUACACGGUGGCCCCGUCCACCUGCACAUCGCCCUCACGAUCCGUAAGCUCGUCCGCGCCAUCCCCGCCCCCUGGGCCACCUGGACCGGCAACUCGGUACGAUCCGGCCAGGUCUCCCAUCCGGGCCUCUCCACGUCGGGUGAAGCCUCCGGAACCGUAGUCCCCUCCGGCUGCUCCUGGGCCGAAUGCACCUCGACCCGAGGCUGCUCCUGGACCGGAGUCUCAUGGGACGAAUGCCCGUCAACAACAGGCUCCUGGAACGGAGUCCCCGUAGCCUCCUCCGCAAACGGGUCGACCAUACUAGUCCUAUGCUGGGGUGAAUGAGCUGGUGGUGGUGGCGAGGACGGCUCAACAGUCCUCCUGGAUCUUCCGCGGCCACCACCUCUCCCUGUAUCCUUCCCCUUCUUCCCUACCCGACCAGCACCUCGCCCAGUGGGCAAUGCCGCCGACGAAGAAGAACCCACGUGUGGUGUCGACAGACUGUCGGCCAAGGCUCUAAGGAGAGAUAGGGUGGAAGGGAAGUACCAACCCUUAUGCGGGGCGCCUGGGAAGAACCCGUCGAGCGAUCUCGACCAGUGCCCACCAUCUUUCCACACCUGGUGACCUGCCAUGAUAAAGAUUAAAAGAAAUUAGUACAACAUAAAAAAAUUGAAUAACUGACAUGAAUAAUAAUAUGUACAUGAAUAAUAAAGAUUAAAAUAUAUAUAAUUUAAGUUGUGAAUCUUACAAACUAAUAAUCAUCAUCAUCAAUAAAUGCAUCAUCAUCAUCACUUUCACGCAUGUCUUCAUGAAUGACGUGCUCGUCGGGUUCAACGGCGUGAAGUUGUGAAAGGCCUUCCUUUAAUCGUUGAAGCAUUGACAGGUCAUCCACAUCAGUAACCUCUAUGAGUUCCAGGUCUUCUGGUUCCGGCUCAGGGCUGGAGUCGGUUUCAUUGUCGCUGUCUACUUCCAUGUUCUUGGGUGAAGCACGGCGGUUCUUGAAACGUUUCUUGGAAAGACGUGUUUCUUGGAAGAAUUAUCCAUCAUAUGUGUCUGGGUUAAUGUGAGGUUCAUAAUCCUGUUCAUUUGGGAGAGGUGGUCUGACAUGUGGCGGCACUUCAUAAACAACAUACCAACCUUCCAGAUUCUUAUCCGUUUGGCAUGCCCACGGUAGAUAGAAAACUUGGGUCGCCUAUUGAGCCGUAAUAUAGACAUCAGGAACAUCUAAAUGGGUGUUUGGAUUGAUUUCCACUAGUCUUAUAUGUUCAUGAGUCCUUCUAGUCUUUUUCGGCUAGAACCAAUAACAUUUGAAGACUACGACGUUCGCUGGGUUUUCACCAUAGAAUUGAAGUUCAUAAAUUGCUUCAACUCUUCCAUAAUACUCGAUAACACCUUCGCCGAUAGCAGAGACACCACAAUUUGUAGAUUUCUGGUCGGGCAUAGAUAGCUCUUUGCCAAAGGUACGAAAGAGAUACCCGUUGAUGUUGUAUUUCUCAAAUGAACGGACCUGAUAGUCAAAACCAUUAGCGACUUGUCUCAAUUCGGCGUUCAUAGACUCUCAAUUAGCCUACAAGUUUAAUACGAGACGGUUGUUGCAUUAGCCGUAAGUUAUACUAAGAAUGAAAUGGUCCAUUAUUGAUAAUUACCGUUUAUUUGAACCAAGAGAUGAAACCGGGAUAGCCGCCUCUUGUCUUUGACAGAAGCUCAUACUCUUCGAUAGAAUCAUUUUCGCUCACCGUUCCAUCCGAGAAUUUGACGACGUAACGGUUGAUUGAAAUAUCCGGGAAUAAGAGCAGUUCAAAUGAAUUAGAAGUUACGGGUAAAUAUACCGAGAACUAACUCGAUGUACGGUCGCACUUCUGUUAGGUUGUUGAAGAUAUACAACGAAAUGUUCCGCCAUUCUUUGACAUCCAACAUUAUUGGUUUCGAAGCACCGGCUGGUGCGAGCUUCCCUUUGAAUAGGCUCAGCUUGGACCCACCUUUUUUAGGGUCUGCAUCAUUGUGCCGAGGCUUCGGAUUAUGCAAAUGAUGAUUUUUGGCUUCGUAGUGUGCUGUCACAAAGUUUGCCACCUCCUCAGUAAUGAAUGCCUCAGCGAUCGAUGCUUCAAUUCUACGCUUAUUUUUACAUUUAGCUCGAAGGGUCUUCUCCAUCCUCUCAGUUGCAUAGCACCAACGAUCUUGCACGGGCCCACCUAAUCUUGCCUCGGUCGGUAGAUGUAAAAUCAAAUGCUGCAUUGGAUUAAAGAAGCCCGGUGGAAAGAUCUUCUCUAACUUGCACAACAACUCCGGUGCAAACUCCUCCAUGUCUUCUACCACACCAGGCGACAAUUCUUUCGCACAAAGAACACAGAAGAAAUAGCUCAGCUCCGCCAGUACUAGCCAUUCAUCCUCAGGAAUAAAGCCACGUAACAUCACCGGCAUUACCCGUUGUAGCCAUAUGUGCCAAUCAUGAAUCAUGAGACCAAAGAUUUUUAAUUUUUGAAGACUCGCUCCCCUCUUUAGAUUCGCGGCAUACCCAUCGGGGAACAUCAAGUGCCUUUUGACCCACAAGAUAAUUUCCCUCAUAGCUGGCCUUCCAAGAUUGAACUAGGCCUUUGGCUUCGACCACUUCUGCUUUCCUUUGCCUUCUUGCAUGUUUUGUAAUGGUCUAUGACAUAGUGUCUCUUGAUCGACUCAAGCCUUAGUAUUAUCCUUUGUAUUCCCAUCUAUGUCGAACAAUGUACCAAAAAUAGCCUCUCCGAUAUUCUUUUCAGUGUGCACCAUGUCGAUAUUGUGUGGAAGAAGGAGGUCUUUGAAGUAAGGCAGAUCCCAGAAGCAUGGCUUGUGAGUUCAGUCGUGUUUUGAAUUAUACCCCUUAAAAUACCCUGGACGCUCUGGAUCAGGCUCGAGGGCGUUUAACUGAUCCAGGAUCUGUUGGCCUGUGAAUGCAGGAGGUGCCAUGUUUUUGACAACUUUACCUUUGGUAAAGUUCUUCUUGUCUUUUCUGAACUGAUGGUCAGGAUCCAGGAACUGUCUAUGCAAGUCAAAGCAAGAAUACUUCCGACCCUCCUGCAACCAAUGAAACUGAAGAGUUGCCUUGCAUUGGGGGCACGGGAACCUUCCAUGCACACACCAUCUAGAGAAUAGCGCAUACGCUGGCAAGUCAUGCAUAGAGUACAUGUACCACACAUGCAUUUUGAAGUUUUCUUUUCUAGCGGCAUCGUAUGUAUUGACCCCAUUAUCCCAAGCUUCUUCCAAUUCAUCCUUAAGCGGUUGCAGGUACACAUUCAUAUUCUUCCCCGGAUAAUUGGGCCCUGGAAUUAUGAACGUCAGAAAUAUGUUCUUUCUUUGCAUAAUCUGCCCGGGGGGGGGGAGAUUGAGUGGAAUGAAAAAUACAGGCAAACAACUGUAUUGGGUUGCCGUCAUGUCGAAGGGAUUAAAAGCAUCCGUGGCGGCACAGACUCGAGGAUUCCUUGGAUCUGCCGCUUUAUCCUGAUGCAAUCCAUCGAAAUGUUUCCACGCCUCCCCAUCCGAUGUGUGUACCAUCAUUUUAUUCCCAUCCGCAUCUAGUUCGGUUCUUUUGCGCAAUUUGUGCCAUGUCAUCUGUCUGGCUGUCUCUUCGACCAUGAAAAGACGUGGAAGUCUUGGUACGAUUGGCAUAUACCAAAGAACACUAACUGCGAUUUUGGUCUCCCUCUUCUCACCAAUACCGUUGUCUACCACAAGAUACCUGCAAGACUCGCAAUUGGGACAAUAGUCCAAUUUUGCAUACUCCUUCCUAAAUAAGGCACAUUCUUUCUCACAUGCAUCUAUCUUCUCAUAGGGCAUCUUAAGUACACAAAGUAUUUUGUCCGACUGGUACAGGUUUGCAGGCAUGACAUGGCCUUUGCGUAGGAAACGUCCAAAUAGUGUCAUCAUCGCGUCGUAGCAUUCUCUUCCCAAGUUGAAUUGAGCCUUCAAAGCCAUUACUUGUGCAAUUGCAUCCAGCUGACAAAGCUCAGUAUGCUCAUGGAGAGGACGUUUUGAAGACUCCAACAUUUCAUAGAAGGCCUUUGCAGAUUCCUCCAUCUCAUCUUCCGAAUCCCGAGCAUCAUCAAAGUCUUGCACCAUGUCUUCGAUCCCAGUACCAUGCUCGUCCGUGCGACGAUGGACCACCUCAGCUCUUGUGCGUUGUAUGGACUCACCUUGAAAUGUCCACACCGUAUAAUUAGGCUUAAAACCCCUCCUCUGCAGGUGUUUAAUCAUUACAGCCUCUGUCGUCUUUUUAUAGUUGUCGCAUCCAGGACAGGGGCAAUAGUUUCUUUCCUGGCCAUUUGCGAAUGCGGCUUUCACAAAUUCCUAUGUUUUUACAAACCAUUCUUUCGUCAUCUCUUUCUGACUAGGGUGACCGGUAUACAUCCACGCACGAUCACUCAUCUUGCGUAGCUACUAAAGACAAAAGAAAUAUAUUUAUAUAUAAUUUAGCAUUUAUAUUCAUUGGUUAAUCAGGUUCGCCAUUUUUAUUACGUCCAGGCAACCUACACGCUAAUAGGUAAAGAUAGGUCCGACUCCCACCUGAGUAUGUGUAGAUUGGGUUCGUUUUCCCAUGCUCUGCUCCGGAUCCAAUGCAAAAUUUCGGAAGCACCUCCCCGCUGUUCUCCUGAUACACGUCUCCGCAAUAAACAGAGAGGAUGUGCAUCCGGAGAACAAUGGGGGAGGCACUGACGAAAUUCCGCAUCGGAUCCAGAGCACAGCAUACAGGAAAACGAACCCAAUCUACACAUACUCAGGUGGGAGUCGGACCUAUCUUUACCUAUUAGCGUGUAGGUUGCCUGGACGUAAUAAAAAUGGCGAACCUGAUUAACCAAUGAAUAUAAAUGCUAGUUAUAAAUAUGGAAAGACAUGAAUAUUUAUAGAUGUCGCCCUUUCGAACGGGAGAGGCAUACUGGUCACGCAUACUCAUGAUUGAAGAAACCUAUAUAUAGAUAGCAAGUUUCAUCGGCACGAAGACAGGGACAGAGCAAAUUAAGGGGGUAGGAGGAGAAGUCAUUUGUGCUCACCAACAAAGUAGGGGCAGAGCUCGUCCAACGCACAUGGAGGUCGUCGAACAACUGCACAAUGAAAUUCACCCGAUCAACACAAAUAUGAUGUUUUUAUAAGAUAAUCAAAAAAUAUGUGACCUAACUCUUAUUUUCUUUUUUCUUUUUUCCUCUUAUUCUUCUUCUUCUUCUUCUUAUUCUGAUUUUCUUUUUUCUUUAUUCCUCUUAUUCUUCUUCUCCUUCUUCUUCUUUUCUUCUCUUCUUCUUCUUCUUCUUCUUCUUAUUUUCUUUUUUCUUUUUUCUUUUUCCUCUUAUUCUUCUUCUCCUUCUUCUUCUUUUCUUCUUGUCUUCUUCUUCUUCUUCUUCUUCUUCUUCUUCUUAUUCUUCUUAUUCUUCUUCUUCUUAUUCUUAUUUUCUUAUUUUCUUUUUUCCUCUUAUUCUUCUUCUCCUUCUUCUUNNNNNNNNNNNNNNNNNNNNNNNNNNNNNNNNNNNNNNNNNNNNNNNNNNNNNNNNNNNNNNNNNNNNNNNNNNNNNNNNNNNNNNNNNNNNNNNNNNNNNNNNNNNNNNNNNNNNNNNNNNNNNNNNNNNNNNNNNNNNNNNNNNNNNNNNNNNNNNNNNNNNNNNNNNNNNNNNNNNNNNNNNNNNNNNNNNNNNNNNNNNNNNNNNNNNNNNNNNNNNNNNNNNNNNNNNNNNNNNNNNNNNNNNNNNNNNNNNNNNNNNNNNNNNNNNNNNNNNNNNNNNNNNNNNNNNNNNNNNNNNNNNNNNNNNNNNNNNNNNNNNNNNNNNNNNNNNNNNNNNNNNNNNNNNNNNNNNNNNNNNNNNNNNNNNNNNNNNNNNNNNNNNNNNNNNNNNNNNNNNNNNNNNNNNNNNNNNNNNNNNNNNNNNNNNNNNNNNNNNNNNNNNNNNNNNNNNNNNNNNNNNNNNNNNNNNNNNNNNNNNNNNNNNNNNNNNNNNNNNNNNNNNNNNNNNNNNNNNNNNNNNNNNNNNNNNNNNNNNNNNNNNNNNNNNNNNNNNNNNNNNNNNNNNNNNNNNNNNNNNNNNNNNNNNNNNNNNNNNNNNNNNNNNNNNNNNNNNNNNNNNNNNNNNNNNNNNNNNNNNNNNNNNNNNNNNNNNNNNNNNNNNNNNNNNNNNNNNNNNNNNNNNNNNNNNNNNNNNGGCGGCGCAGGGGGUGGCGCAGGGGUCGGCGUCGGGGGCGGCGCAGUGGUGGCCGGCCGCCGGUGGUGCAGGAGGGAGGCGCGCAGGACGGUUUGAGAGAGAGACAGAGCGGGGAGUGGGGUAGUGGAGCGAGGGGUUGGCGGAUAACAGCCGUCAGCUUUGCCGUCUGCCCCCGGACGGGAAAGGGCCCAACGGCGGAUGGAAAAGGCCAGGCUGACACCAAAGAGCCCGUCCGUUGGACGUGGCCAGGCCCAAGGUCUAGUGGGACCCAUCUGCCCUCUUUGCCGUCUGCCCUAGGUCUCUUUGUCGUCCGCAGGCACAUGGCAAAGCCCUUACCGAUGGCAAAUGUUCUUUUUAUCAUCAGUGAGCCCUUUACCGUCCGCUUUAGGUCAGCUGACGACAAAGAGGGUCUUUGCCAUCAGCCAGCAGACGGCAAAGAACUCGCUGAUGGCAAAUUACUGUUUUCCAGUAGUUCACUUGGUGAAGUUUUUUAACUUAGGUGAAUCUGAUUCGCGGCUAAGCCCUCGAGUGAGAGGUUAGCUGUUCACUCGUGGAAGUUUUUUUAACCUAGGCGAAUCUGGUUCGCGGCUAAGCCCCUGAGUGAGAGGUUAUGUCUUCACUCGGAGAAGUUUAUUAACUUAGGCAAUUCUGAUUCACAACUAAGCCCCCGAGUGAUAGGUUAGCUCUUCACUCGGAGAAGUUUUGUAACUUAGGUAAAUCUGAUUCGCAACUAAGCACCAGAGUGAGAGGUUAGCUCGUCACUCAGAGAAGUUUUUAACUUAGGCGAAUCUGGUUCGCGGCUAAGUCCCAGAGUGAGAGGUUAGCUCUUCACUCCGAGAAGUUUUUUAACUUAGGCGAAUCUGGUUUGCGGGGAAGCCCCCGAGUGAGUGGUUAGCUCUUCACUCGGAGAAGAUUUUUAGCUUAGGCGAAUCUGGUUCACGGCUAAGCCCCCGAGUGAGAGGUUAGCUCUUCAAUCGGAGAAGUUUUUUAACUUAGGCGAAUCUGGUUAGUUGCUAAGCCCCCCGAGUGAGAGGGCACCUCUUCACUCGGAUAAGUUUUUUAAUUUAGGCGUAUCUGGUUCGAGGCUAAGCCCCCGAGUGAGAGGUUAGUUCUUCACUCGGAGAAGUUUUUUAACUCAGGCGAAUCUGGUUCGCGGCUAAGCCCUUGAGUGAGAGGUUAGCUCUUCACUCGGAGAAGUUUUUAACUUAGGCAAAUCUGGUUCACGGCUAAGCCCCUGAAUGAGAGGUUAGCUCUUCAAUCGGAGAGGUUUUUUUAACUUAGGCGAAUCUGGUUCACGGCUAAGCCCCCCGAGUGAGAGGGUAGCUCUUCACUCGGAGAAGUUCUCUAGACCGGAGUCGACAGAUAUAUUGUGGUAAACACAACUUCUCGCAAGUAAAUUGCUUUAAGGAAUCUCAUUCGUUACAUCAAAACAGUCAUAAAUCAGGCAUAAAAACGAUUGAGUAAGUCUGUGUUCCAUGCUCGCGGCUCAUUGAUCCUCUUCUCCAAACUGUAGAGUAUGUACGCUGUGUUGUUGAGGACCUUCGAGAUGAUGAAGGGUCCUUACCACACGGGUGCCAGCUUGGGUGGUCUCUUCUGAUGCACUCGGAGCACCAAAUCGCAUGUUUGAAACGUCCGAGUCCUAACAUGUCUCGCAUGGAACUAUCGCAAGUCUUGCUGGUAGAUUGUUGACCGAAUCAAAGCCAUCUCGUGCUCCUCCUCCAAGAGAUCAACUCCAUCCCGUCGAGCUUGUUCAACUUCGGCUUCUGAGAAGAACUCAACUCUAGGGGAAUUGUGAAGCAAAUCACUCGGAAGGACGGCUUCUGCACCGUAAAUGAGAAAGAAUGGAUACCAGCCAGUCGACCUGUUCGGUGUCGUUCUGAGCCCCCAGAGCACAGAAGGUAACUCGGUGACCCAAGCGCCUGCAGCAUGUCCAAUCUCCCUCAUGAGAAGAGGUUUUAACCCCCGAAGUAUGAGUUCAUUCGCUCCUUCAGCCUGGCCAUUUGUUUGGGGACGAGCAACGGAUGCAUAAUCCACUCGGGUUCAUUGAAUGGAGAAGAAGCUCUUGAAUUCGUCCGAGUCAAAGUUUGAUCCAUUAUCAUUGAUGAUGUCGUGUGGGACUCCAAAUUUGACACUAGUUUCUCUCAAGAAUUUGAGUGAAGUGCGAGCAUCUAGCUUUUUGAUUGGCUUGGCUUCUAUCCACUUAGUGAAUUUGUCGACUGCACCUAACAAAUGAGUAAAUCCGCCUUGCCCUCUACGAAAGGGUCCAACCAUGUCCAAGCCCCAUACGGCAAAAGGCCAUAUGAAAGGGAUUGUCUGCACAACAGAUGAUGGCUUGUGCGAUUUGUUGGAGUAGAAUUGGCAUCCUUCACAUCGGUCCACGAGCUCUUUGGCCAUUUCGCCUGCACGUGGCCAGAAGAAUCCAUCUCGAAACGCCUUAGCGAUGAUGGCUUUGGAGGAUGCAUGAUUAGCACAGGUUCCCGAAUAAAUUUCUUCAAAAAUCUGUCGGCCUUCCUCAAGGGAAAUGCACCGUUGAGCUACGCCAGACGCACUUACCUUGUAGAGCUGAUUUCCCAUGACUGUGAAAGCUUUGGAUCUGCGAACAAUUUAUCUAGCCUCAUCUUCGACUUUGGGCAGUUCUUGCCUCGGGAUAUAUGCAACAUACGACACUGUCCAAUCGGGCGUGACUACUCGAAUCUCCAUGAUUAAGUCGACAACUGCCGGGAUUUGAACUUCAGGCGGAUCAACUGCACGUGUGGGUUGAGGAAGUUCUUCGGUGAAUUGAUCUUCUUGGACUGAAGGGAUGUGUAUGUGCUCCAAACAUACACUAGGCACAAUUUUCCGAGUGGAUCCGAUUUUUGCCAACUCAUGAGCAGCUUGAUUCUUCAAUCGAGGAACGUGAUGAAGUUCCAAACCUUCAAACAUUUUCUCAAGUUUUCAGACUGCAUUGCAAUAUCCAUUCAUGGCAGGGUUUCUCACAUCCCACUCUUUCAUUACUUGAUUAACCACUAGAUCUGAGUCACCAUAUACCAUUAAGCGUCGGAUGCCGAGUGGAAUGGCCAUACGCAACCCAUAAAGGAGAGCUUCAUACUCUGCUUCAUUGUUAGAGGAAUCAAAGUGGAUCUGCAAUACAUAACUGAGCUUGUCGCCUUUUGGGGAUAUAAGAACUACACCUGCACCAGAACCACUCAGCAUCUUCGAGCCGUCAAAGAACAUAGUUGAAUGUGUCGAGUGAGUAGGGGCUGGUUGCUGUUGUUCCACCCAUUCAGCCAUGAAAUCUGCCAAAGCCUGAGAUUUGAUGGCUUUCUUGGCUUCGAACUUUAUGUCGCAAUAUAAUAGCUCCAUUGCCCAUUUUGCCACUCGGCAUGAUGCAUCUCGAUUGUGAAGGAUUUCAUACAAUGGGGCAUCACUGACCAUAGACACCGAGUGAUCUCGAAAAUAAUGAGCUACCUUCUUCACAGUCAUAUAAAUCCCGUAAAGGAGCUUCUGAUAGUGUGGAUCUCUGUUCUUGGAAGGAGUCAAUACCUCAGAAACAUAAUAUACUGGGCGUUGAAUCUUGUAAGCCUUGCCUUCCUCAUCUCGCUGGACUGUCAGGACUGUGCUGACAACUUGAUUUGUAGCCGCUAUGUAUAAGAGGAGUGGCUCUUUGUUGUACGGAGCAGCAAGAACUGGUUGGGUGGAUAGCAGAGUCUUUAACUCGACGAAUGCAGCUUCUGCUUCGGGAGUCCACUCGAAGGUAUCUGACUUCUUCUUGAGCCGGUACAAUGAUAAGGCUUUCUCUCCGAGUCGAGAUAUGAAACUGCUUAAAGCUGCCAAACAUCCUGUAAGCCUCUGGACGUCGUGCACUCGCACAGGGCUUCUCAUUCGGAUGAUUGCCCCGAUCUUUUUGGGGUUAACAUCGAUUCCUCGUUCGGAAACAAGAAAACUGAGUAACUUGCCGCUGGGGACUCCGAAUGUGCAGUUAGCUGGGUUGAGCUUGAUAUCGUACCUUCGAAGGUUGGCGAACGUUUCAGCCUAGUCAGUCAGCUGGUUGGAACCUUUGCGUGACUUGACUAUGAUAUUGUCCAUGUAUGCCUCCACGUUCCGACUGAUCUGGCCGAGGAGGCAUUUCAGAAUCAUGCGCAUAAAAGUGGUUCCUGCAUUUUUGAGACCGAAUGACAUAGUGAUGUAGCAGAAACACCCGAAAGGGGUGAUGGAGGCUGUUUUUAUUUCAUCUGGGCCAUACAGACGGGUCUGGUGGUACCCAGAGUAAGCAUCUAAAAAAGACAAUCGCUCACAUCCGACAGUCGAGCCGACGAUCUGAUCUAUGUGGGGGAGUGGGAAGUGGUCCUUCGGGCAAACCCGAUUGAUAUGCUUGAAGUCGAUGCACAUUCAGAGUGACUUGUCCUUCUUAGGCACCAUGACAACAUUCGCGAGCCAAUCAGAGUGGUAGACCUCGUGAAUGAACUUGGCCUCUAGGAGCUUAGCCACCUCCUCUCCGAUUGCUUUCCUUUUAUGCGUGGCGGACCAACACAGAUGUUCCUUGAUAGGUCGAGCUUUGGGGUCGACCCUCAGUCGGUGCUCAGCCAGUUCCCUGAGUACACCAGGCAUGUCAGCGGGCUGCCAUGCAAAGAUGUCCCAGUUCUCACGGAGGAACUGGAUGAGCUCGACUUCCUAUUUAGGGUCAAGGGUUGUUGAGAUAUUGGUCGGGGCGGCUGUAGGAUCCGUCGGGUGGAUGUUGACCUUCUUGAUUUCGCGUGCCAACUGGAAUGCAGACUCGAAAGCUCGCUUCUUCGCGCGCAUCAGUUCGGCGGGAUCUGCUGUCUGCCGGUACUCAUCGAGCUCUCCCAUUUCCAUCUACUAGUCGGCGAUCUUGGAGCCCUACUUCAAACAUUCUUCUGCUCUCUACCGAUCGCCAGUGAUGGUGAUGACUUCCUUCUGUCCUGGCAUCUUCAUUUUCAAAUAAACUAACAUGGUCGGGCCAUGAAACGUACAUACACUGGUCGCCCAAGUAUCGCGUGGUAGGCACUCUGGAAGUCCACCACCUCGAACAUGAGUUUCUCCUUGCGGAAGUUCUAGUCGGAGCCGAAGACAACAUCCAACGCGAUCUGACCGAUUGAAACAGCCUUCUUCCCUGGGAUCACUCCAUGGAACUACAUAUUGUUGUCGCUCAACUUGGACAUCGGAAUGCCCAUCCCUUUGAGAGUUUCGGCGUAGAUGAUGUUCAAGCCGCUCCCUCCAUCCAUCAACACCUUGCGGAGUCGAACUCCUUCUACCACCGGGUCGGCAACAAGAGCCUGACGUCCCGGAGUGGGAACAUGUAUCGGGUGAUUCAACUGGUCGAAGGUGAUAGCAGCCUGUGACCACUUGAGAUACUUCGGGGUAGAAGGAGCUGCCAUGUUGACAUCUCAGUUGCCCACUUUCAGUCGACUCUUGCUUUCGACAUUAGCGAAGAUCAUCAGAGUGGCAUGGACCUUUGGGAAGUGGUCUUCUUGUUCUUCGUCCUCUUUCUCUUGGUCUUUCUCACUCGAUUGAUCCUCUCUGAACCUCUGGAUUAAAAGUCUGCACUGCCGGGUGGUAUGUUUAGGCACGAUGAUGUUGCCUUCUUCAUCUAUCUUCAUGUGAAUCGCACACGGCUGAUCAAGAACAUCAGGUCUCGACUGCUUUUUGAAUUUCUUUGGGGGGAAUUGUCUCUUGCCCUUUCCCUUGAACUUCCCCGCUCCCAGAGUGGUCGCUUCUGCCGGAGGAGUGUGUUCUACCUUCUGCUUCCGCUUUCGGUUGGCAUCUGCAUUAACUUCUUUGCCUUUGCCUCUAUGAAGGCGGUCUUCUUCUUCUCCAUUGGCAUAGAGGGUUGCUAUCCCCAUCAUCUUGCUCAAAAACAUAUCUCCUGUCCGACCGAACUUGAAGUACAACUCGCGGUACCUGACGCCUACCUUGAAAGUGCAAACUUCUUGAUGCCCUGUGACGUUCUCCAUUGUGUGGUGAAGAGUGGUCCAGCGCUGGAUAUAAUCACGCAAAGACUCACUCGGAUUGUGCAUACAAUGUUGUAGCUCUGAGAGACCAGCAGGGCGCUUGCAGGUGCCCUCGAAGGUCUUGAUGAACAGUCGGGCCAAAUCUGCCCAGCAGUAUAUGCUUGAUGGAGCUAGUUGAUUCAGCCACGCACGGGCCGAACCAUCCAGCAUCAGGGGCAAGUGCUUCAUUGCGAUGUUGUCAUUGCCGCCACCAAUCUGAAUUGGCACUCGGUAAUCAUCUAGCCACGUCUCUGGCUUGGACUCACCAGUGAACUUGCUUAUUCCGGCCGCCAACCUGAAGUUGGGGGGAAUACGAGCAAAGCGGAUUGCCCGACUGAAACACUCAGGCCCACAUAUGACAGAGCCACUUCCACUCGGACGAUCACCGUCGUAUCCAUCAUGAUGGGCUCCGCCUCUAUCAACUCUCUUCUGAGUUAUAUAGUCCCUUACAUCACGCCUCUGGUCGCGGUCGUAGCCCACUGAUCACCUUUCGUCGUUCCGCCGGGGCGCAUACAAACCACUCCGUGGAGGAGAGCGCGAGCGAUGACGAUCUCCACGAUUGAACCGGGUGGAAGCGAUCUUCACGGUCUUCUCGGUGAUCUCCUCCUCUGCGACGCUGAGGAGAACCUGGAUUGUAAACCGACUGAACUUUGUCCGGUCGUACAAAAUUGAUGUGCAGUUUGUUGUGAGACUGAGAGACAUCGGAAUUCUCCUGCUGCGCCGCCUGCCACAAGGCAUGGAUCUGCUCCACUCCUCCGCCCGCUGAUGAAUUUGACGUCUGGAUGGAGUCUGCAAUCCUUGCGGACGCAGCCAAGUUUAGGAUAGGCGUGCGGAAUAUGUCGAUGUUGUCGUGAUGAGAGCGCCGACCGGAUGCUGGGGGCGCAGAUGAUGACGCGCAUCCCAAGUCCCUCCGGUUUCCCGCUUGUCCCGAUGGUUCCUUGGCAGGCUCUCGUGUGAGAUGGCCAUGAAAACCUCCCCUGCAGGGCUGCGGUUCUCACAAUUGGAAGGAGGACCAAACAGAUCUGACAUCGAGUGAGAUGUAGCACACGGAGGUGUAGCAGGUUUAAUUGCUGCCACCUGUGGCGAAGACGCUUGACGCCGAAUGCAUGAUGCACCCAGCGCUGGAGCUGUGAGCGACCGGAUCGCUUGUUCCUACAUGCGAUGGGGAACGCAGUCGACGACAGAGUCGACGGUUGGCGAAGAAGGACUCCGCUAGAACUAGCGCGGAAGAACGUCGCCCUGCGGCCUGGAAGCGCCUCGACGUCGAGAGGCGCCUCCUGAAGCCAUGCCGAAUCGUCGACGAGUGUGCCGAACAUGAUCCCGUGACCAAUGCACAAACCACCGCCGGAAAGCAUGGUGAAGAGGAUCAAAUGCAAACUUGCCGGAAGUCGCCUAGACGCCUGCCCCAAGGUGGGCGCCAACUGUCGUGGAUAUAGGACUGGCAGUAGUUGUGUAGGGUACAAAAUUAGAGGGCAGAGUCCUAGCUACGGCAAGGUUGUAUGAGUUCAGGCCCCUCUUCGGUGGAGGUAACAAUCCUACGUCUCAGUGCUCUUGGAGCUUUGGUGUCGAGUGGAAUAUGAAUGUUACAGAAUGCGAACCCGUGUUCCAGAGGGGAGGGGUGGCUUAUAAAGAGUGCGCUACCCCUGAUAAGUGUCUAGCCUUCAAGGGUGUAAUAAGCGGGAUUGGAUGCAUGCGUUACAGGUAACGUAUGGCAUAGAGGACAUUAACUACAGUAGUCUAACGUCUGACCAUUAUUUCCGCUAGAGUGGCUUCUGAUCUUCCAUGUCGACUAGCUUCUGGUACUUACCGAGUGGAAUCCAGUCGUCGAUUGUUAAGUAACCUUCCGAGUGGUCCUUUACCGAGUGGAUCAGAGGUUGUCUUAAUACAGUCGGUAAGCAUUUUGUGGUCCUUAAGCUAAUAAUGAGGUGCCCUUAGGUAGGACUUAUAGGUCAGGCCUAUGACCUUACCCUAAGGCUAUAACCCCAUCAAUGGCAAGUGUCACAUUCUCCAAUAUAGCGUGCAAUGUCUUGCUUCAUGUUUGACCACAAGAAUCUUUGGAGGAUGUCUUGGUACAUCUUGGUACUACUUGGGUGAAUAGAUAAAGGUGUAUCAUCGGCUUCUUUCAUCACCCUCUGAGUCAUAUUGAAGUUUUCCCUGUGACUCGGAACGAAUACGCGACCCUUGAAGUACAAGCAUCAUCAUCAUCAAGAGUAAAGUAAGAGGGUUUACCUUCUACAAGAUAGUCUUUAAUCUUUUCGACUUCGUCGUCAUAGUGUUGAAUAGUUUUCAUGUCGCCCACGAUAUCUGGUUUAGCAACCAGGUUAUUAAGGGAACCCUGGUUAAUAACAUGGAGGUUCAUCUUGCGGAACUCUUUAUGAGGGUGAGCAAGAUAACCAUGGGGAACAAUAUGAAGGUUCGGCUUGCGCAAUUCUUCUUGAAGAAGGAUCUAAACCUUAUGAACCUGGAGGUGGUUGCAAUAUGACUUGCGGAUCAACACAUCAUCCAUUACAUUAGCUUUGCCAAGUGUAUAAGAACUACCCAUGUUAAAAUGUUAUAUGCUCUCCAUGCAUCUCUGUUGAUCGAGUUUCAGAUCCGGCUGAGUAAACAUGUACUUUAGACUUUGUUGAUCGGUGUAGAUCUCACAACGAUUACCGAGAAGCUUAUGUGGCCAUAGAAAGAACAAAUACAUAACUGCUGCAAGUUCAAGGUCAUGAACUCGAUAGUUCUCUUCAUGACCAUGCAACUAUCGCUGGCCAUAGAUGAUCACUCUGCGGUCUUGCAUUUGGACACAACCCAAUCCUUGAUGAGAAGCGUCACAAUAAAUGACAAAGUCCUUGAGUGUAUCCGAGGGAGCAAGCACUAGAGCUGAUAUCAGUUUGUCCUUGAGUGUCUAGAAAGUUUCUUGACAUUUAUCUAUCCACUCAUACUUAAUACCUUUAUAAAGCAUAUUGGUAAAGGGGUUUGCAUAGAGAAGUUCCCUACAAAGCGAUGGCAAUAGCUGGCGAGUCCGAGAAAAUAUCGGACUUGCUUGACAUUCUUUGAGGGAUUCCAGUCCAGAAUAGCCUGAACUUAUUCCGGGUUGACUGCAAAACCAUCCUUGGAGAUCACACGACCAAGGUAGGUCACUUCGUCCAAGUAGAAUUUACACUUGGAAUACUUGACAUAUAGGUGAUUCUACCAAAGCUUUUCGAGUACAAGAUGAAGAUGUUCCACAUGCUCUUCUUUAUUCUUGGAGUACAUGAGGAAAUCAUCUAGAUAAACCAUGACAAAUUUAUCGAGGUAGUCCAUGAAGAUAUAAUUCAUCAAUUGAGAGAAGGCAGUUUUUGGGAUAUCCUCGUAUGAACCAUAUCGAGUAACGAAGGCAGCUUUUGGGAUAUCCUCUUCGCAAACACGGAUAUGGUGGUAUCCCAACCUGAAGUCGAGCUUAGGGAAGAUUGAGGAACCAGUAAGUUGAUCAUCCUUGUUCUCGAACCAAAUGAUUCGUUCCAUCCUUCUUCUUAACAAAGAGAGAAGGUGCUCCCCUAGCAAAGGAACUUGGACGAAUGAAUACACAAUGAAGAGAUUUGUCGAUUUCUUCCUUAAGUUCAAGGAGUUCAUGUGGUGGCAUUUUGUAGGGUCGAUUGGCGAUAGGAGUUGUGACUGGUACUAAGUCAAUGACGAAUUCAACAACUCUCACAGGGGGGUCCCUAGGAGUUCUUCUGGAAAGACAUUUGGAAAGUCACUAACAACUGGAAUUCUUUCAAUCCCCUCAAGAGGUGCCACAUUUAAUGCAUUCAAGGCAUAUAGUCGGGCUUAGGCACCUUGAAAAAGAUGAGCAUGGUAGCUUACAAUGUCAUUUGAAAGAUGUAGGAGGUGGACGGUUAUGGUGGCACAAACGAUUGAAGUUGUAUGAGCUUUCAACCAAUCCAUUCCCAGAAUGAGAUCAAUAUUGGAAUAGUUCAGCAUUAUUGGAGAGGCAAGGAAUUCCAACCCUUCAAUUUCAAUGGUACAUUGAGGCCAACCAUGGAGGUUCGAUAUUAUCCCGUGUCGUGUUUACCACUAUUGGAAUGUUCAUAUCUUUACAUCUAAUGUCAUGCAUGUAUGCAAAAAAAUUGACAUGAACGAAUGUGAUGCUCGUGUAUCAAACAAUACACAAGCUAGUGCUAAGUUAACAAGAAGUGCACCCAUCAUAGUAGCAGGCUAGUCUUGAGCUUGAUGGAGUUCAACGUUGUUGGCCUAACCAUGUGUAACGUCCAUGACGCGACACUAUCCGUAUUUGGGGACGAUGCCUUAAUAUGGAUAGAGACGCAUCUCUGUCAAAUAUCUGUGGUACUUGAACCUGUGUUGUUGUAGUAAUUUGUGAGCCAUGAGAAUUCAGCAAUAUCGUAACCAAUAUAUUAAAACUAAUUAAGUUAUUUGGGUAAGGCAUGGUUAAGUGGUGAGGUUGAAGUAGCACUAAGAAUUAUUUGGUGGCUAACUUACGAUUCAAGAUUAAGACGAGUAUCUACGCAAGUCGGUCGCAAAUUAAUUAUGAUCAAUAAGUGAUCAUGAACACCUACUUACGUCAAUCAUAACCCCACUGUGUUCACCUUUCGAACUACCUCGAAAAGAGGCGGUCACGGUUACGCACACAGUUGAUUUGGUUUUACUUAAUUUUACUUCCAAUUUGCUAUAACUAUAUGUCAAACAAUUUCCAAGUUGCCACAUAACUUCUAGCAUGGAUCUCCAAAAUAUUUAACCUUGCACGGGUGCUCCAACUAGUCCAUCACAAACAAUCAAAAUCUACCCUAGAGAGAAAACCUCAACCUCGAGAUAGCCCAAGGUUUCCUCCAUAUCUGAGUGCACACGACAUUUUCUAAGAGUAAAACAAAUCUAGUAAGACUGCCUGACAGGCUAGAUCCCAAUAGGAGCCGCACGUAUCUAUUUUUCAGGGCACUACUGGAUGGGCAAGAUGUCAGGUUGGCUGAAACCCCGGGUGGCCAGGGGGUGCCAAACAUUGCCCAGUUUGGACCAACAUUCAUGAGGAGCACUAGCCCUGGUUGUUGAUUAAGAUCCUCGGGGUAGCUAUUCCCUAUGCAUUUUUAUUAAGUUGUUUAGCAAAUAUAAUACCAAUAUUUGUCCUUGUCGGAACAGUUUUAACCGAAGACAAAUUAUCAAGGGGGUCCCCAUAAUAACCCCAAGCAUGUUAGGAUCGCUCAAUAUGGAACAUCACACUAGUAACCGGAAACUAGGGCAAUGAAAGUGGAACAAAACACCAAGAAGAAGGCCAAACAUUUGGCCAGUACCAAAUGUAUAUGCUCAUUAAAUGAAAUAGCAAUAAUAAGAUGAUGUCCAAAAUAUCGAUGUCAACACAUGGAUGACCAUGCAACUGCAACUAGUAACGCUAUAAGAAGGGUUGAGCAAGCGCUAACUUAGCCAAUCAAUGUUUGCUGGGAAGUGGAGGGGUUAGAGGCUUAUCAUGACAUUUUUGGACGCUUGAGAUUCAGGUCAUUGGCAGCGAUAGUAAAUGACAUAAACGAGACACCUAAGCAUAACAAAAUUAGAAAUAAUAUAAAGGUCAACGAUCAUUUUGCCUCGCACUUCUUCUAGGGGAUAAAACUCUUGAUCUUCAGGGACGUUCUCAACAAGACCCUCGUACUCAUAAUCGUCUCUCAACAAUACCCAACAGAAAAUACAACAUCCAAUGGACACACGGCCACGACACCAUGCUCAAACAAUAUGAUGCAUGAAUAUGAAGUGAAUGAAGCAUGGCAAUGCUACACUAGUCAUCUUUCUCAUGCAAUUAUUUAAUUAUUAUCAUUCUGAACCGAACCUCAAGAUUAGUUACUUGGACAUGGAAUAAGAUUGCAAAAAAUGAAUGCAUCACAAGAAAACGAUACAAACGCAUAUAAAGAACGUCGCAAACCGAGUUACGGAUAUCUCAGAACUCUCACGAGAAUGUACGGAAGGCAAUGAUGAUAAACCAGAAUUUUAGAGAUGCUAUGCGCAAUUCCUUGGCAUCCCAAGUAUGCCAUUGGAUUGGGAACAAAAUUAUAGGUGAAAUGGAACUAAAGAUCAUGCAAAACAAAGGGGUACAACUCUCACAAAGUGCAAAACAAUUCUACAAGCAAUUUGUCAAAAAACAGCAACAUGUCACUUUAUACACACAUAAACUAACACCUACAACAGGCUAACACACUAAACCAAGACAUGGAGAUGAAGUAAACAUGAUGCACCACAACUCAUACAAAAAACAACAUGGAUAGGAGCAUGGAUCAAUGCCAAUCAAGCUCACAAUAUGGCAUAAAACAUCAAAGAUUAUGACUUAAUGUACAUAUCAGUUUCUCACAUGUAGAGUUAAUAUGAUGGCAUAUUGACAAGAAUGAAACUUUAUGCUACACGAACUUUCAUGGCAUGAAAUUUAAUAGGGCAAUAGAGAGCAACAAGUACUACAAUGAACACCAACUAACAAUAAGAAAAUAUUGCAUAGAUUAAUUGAUAGCAUCCUCUCAACAUGUCAUGGUGAACUUAGAGGAUUCCCAGACUUAUAAAAAUUCACAAGGUGAAUUCACAACAGGUUACAUCAGCAUGGAAUGUUCGACGCGAAGAAUAUCUAUGAUGAAAAAUCUAUGUUGCAAAGCAUUGGCACCAUUUAAGAAAGGGCAACAUGCUCUAUCUUUCACUCAUUUGCACCUGUAGAAAGAACCUACAGAUGCUUAUCAAAUGACAUGGAAACACAACUACUUGGUAACAUAUUCCAGACUUAGUCAUAUUUCACCCUACCAAAUCAGCAACAGUAACAUAGCAUGUUGAUAGAAAGAUUUCCACAUGUAAAGAAGCUUUAUCAUGGCAAGGAAAAAAUAUGAGGCCUAGCACACAUAACAAACAACAAAUUUCAGGUUGACAAGUUUAAGAAAGGUUACAAGAAUUGCUUUAUACAAAAUUAACAAAAGACCAUCAUGGUGAAAAUAUCAUGCACAUCAAUUUUCAUGAAAGCCAAAACUAAUGUGAGAGAUGAAUUCCUUGGAUUUUUAUACCCCACAUUCAUAUAUCAUAAGCAUAGGUUACAGUAGAAAAUCAUACCAGAAAUCCACAAACAAAAUCACACCAACUAGGUAUAACCCAGUAUAUGCUAGAUUUGGCAUAUGCCCAAGUUGGACACUCCCAGAUUGGCAACCUUACCUAAAUGGCAUGAAUUCAAAAACCAACGAAUAAAAAUAAAACAAACAACAAAAUAAAAUACCCAGCGGUCCACUAGUCAGCCACACAAGGCCCGUGAGAACUUGAAAAAUGGGCCGAGGGCCCACUGUGAGCCACACUGUAGUUUUUUUACCAUCUACUGUAGGGAAUCACCCCACAACCUUUUCUUUUAUUCCAUUAAAAAGAGAGUAUAUGUACGUGAGAAUAUUAGAAUAUACAAAGGGGAUGGGGAAGAGAUACAAACCUCAAGGAGGUAGAAAGGAGAUCCAUUUCAAAAGAUCAUCCCUAAAUCUAGCCUUAAUCCUAUGAGCAAAAAGGGAGAUAUCAUGUGUGAAGCUAGACUUCCAUUUACUGAACCUGGGACGCUCAUUGUUGAAAAUCCUUGCAUGUCGGACUGUCCAAAUGUUCCACCAAUUAGUGAACUCUACUUCAGAGAAAAACGGAUGCUGAAAAUCUUUCCUGGCUGCCAAUGAAGUGGUCCACAUGGAAGUACCCUACAAGGUGAUCUGAAGGUAGUUCCAAACCCUGAUGUUGAAAAGGCGGUUGAAAAAGAGAUGAUCCCUAUCUUCUUUGACCCUAGCAUGAUAGAGAACACAUAGGUUUGAAUCAGAAACUUUCAUGUGACGGCGUUCAAGCAUAUCCUGGGUGUUGAUCCUGUCCAUGAUUAGCAUCCAGGCAAACAUCUUGAUCUUCAUGGUGUAGCAACUCUUCCAAAUCCAACAGAGCAAAGGGUUGGAAUCAAUGGGCAGAUGCACAUGGAGGUAGUACUUUUUAGCAGAGUAAGCUUUAUAGUCACUACUCCAGAGCCAAAUAUCAUUGCAAGAUGGAUCUCUAUCAAGAUUCUGGUGUAAGAAGGUGACUGAUUCCAACUCUUGGCGGGCCCUGUCAGAGAGAGGCAAGUUAAACAUGUUGAUCAUGUUAUUUGUUUGAAAAGCUUGGAAAACCUCCUCAGAAGUGCAGAAAGUGUCAGUAACAAAGGAGAACAAUCUCUUGAAAAGAAGAGCAAGAGGCAUGUUAGAAUCUCCGAUUUCCCAGGAAUCAGACAAAAAAGGAAGGUGUCUCCCUUAUUUGGCUGGACAUAGGUGACAACUCUAAAGUUGUCCAUCCUCUUACAGAUGUCCUUCCACCAGAAAGAUCCACAAAGGGAGGUACCAUGAGGAACUGUGUUGUGGUAAUAUGUGUUCCAUAUUAAAUCAACCCAGGGUACAUCAGCUUUGCUUAAGAACUUAUCCACAUGUUUAAGCAACAGAGCCUCAUUUUGGACAAACAGAUUCAUAAUCCCCAAGCCACCCUUCAUUUUUGGCCUGCACACUAAGUCCCAGGCUGAAAGGGAAGGGGCAUGGUCUUGGUCGUUCUUCCUCCAGAGACAUUGUCUUUGUAUCCUUUCCAACUUUUUAAGAAUCCCUGGUGGUAUAUCCACACUGUAGAAGAAAAAAAUGGGAACAGACGACAAGGCUAAAUUGAGAUAUUGCAAGUGUCCCCCGUGUGCCGGGAAGGAGGAGCUAGUAGAGAGUGUCCUUUCCAUACUGUCUACCAAAGUCAUUAGAUCAAUAAUUCUUGGACUGGUUGUCCCAAUAGGCAAACCAAGAUAGGGGAAAGGUAGUGAUCCAACCUUGCAACCAAUAGAGGCAGCAAGCCUCUGAAGUUCUCGCUGAUCAAUGUUGAUAGGUAACACAACAGACUUGUGAUAGUUUACUUGGAGAACUGUGGAUUGGGAAAAAGCAGAAGCAUCUUUUUGAAUUCUAGUAGCUGAGACUCCACAGCAGGCAAAAAGAUAAGAGUGUCAUCUGCAUAUUUGACAAUAGGAAAGUAUUUGUCAUGACAGGGUAUUGGCAGCUGAAUGACGCCAUCCUGCAACAAUUGAUUUACCAAAGUUUGGAGAAAAUCAGCAGCAAUGGCAAAAAGGAGAGGGGACAUGGGAUCCCCCUGCCUGACCCCCUUCUUAUACAUAAUUUUUUACCAGGAACUCCAUUAAGAAGAACAGAAGAGGAGCUAGAACUGAGCAACUGCUACACCUAUAAUAUCCACUUAUCAUUAAAACCUUUGUGCCUAAGAAUAUGAAAAAUGAACUCAUGUUCCACUGAGUCGAAGGCCUUUUUCAAAAUCCAGUUUGAGGAUGACAAUGGGUUUUUUGGAGUGGUGGCAUUGGUGUAGGUAUUCCAGUGUCCGUCCAACACAAUCUUGUAUGGUUGUGGACUUGAUGAAACUAUACUGAUUUUUAUGGAUGCAUUUCAUGAUUUGUAACUGCAGUCUAUUAGCAAUCAUUUUGGAUAGGAAUUUAAGCCACACUGGAGUUAAUCCACACAAAGGAGAAAAAGGGGGCUCGGGGGGAGGGGUCGAACCCAAGCCCUAUCAGAUGGAAACAAGGCAUGAGUGAGCUACCACUAGGCUACGAGCGGGGAUCUAACAGGGAGGGGUUUCCACUCCUCUUGUACAGACAAGCCCCUGGGUUGUACCUCUAUGAGACAAGGAACAUGGUGAUGAUGCCGGCGAGUCCUCUAGUGAUCACCGGAGCUCGUGACCUGUAGCGGGGGUGCGGAAUCCAAGGGGUGUUCGGUUCCUAUAUUGAGCGAAUGCUAUGAGGCUAGCGGGGCUGGGUUUCGACCUCAAGCAAAAGAUUCACCCGAGCCAUGGCGUUGUCGAAAACGGGGCUCUGCGGACCCAAAAAGAUUCGAACACCGGGGUGCUCUCACUGUCGAAACCUAUUCUGCCUCUCAACCUCACGGCGACUCUCCAACGGUUCGAGCUAAGGGGGACGAACAAGAACACUCGCACAGUUCACCCAGGUUCAGGCCACCUUGCGGUGUAAAACCCUAGUCCUUCUUCUCUGGAUUGCUUGAGGUGGAAGAUGAGUACAAAAGGGAGGGGNNNNNNNNNNNNNNNNNNNNNNNNNNNNNNNNNNNNNNNNNNNNNNNNNNNNNNNUUCCCUAAUGGAGUUGGUGGAUCCCCUUGCUAUGGAGGAAAGACCUCCCUCUUGUACAUGCAUUGGUCCUCUUCCCCCAAAAAACACACACUUGGCGGGAAGGGUUGCCACAACGACCAUUUUGAAAGGGGACAAGAUUGUGGCCUACCUUGAAAAAGGUGGUCUUCGCCUGUUAAAGCUCUUCGCCAUGACGCGCUGGUUAGCUCAAAGGCUAUGCCCUGCGCCGCAGGCACGCGAGCGUGGGUACCCCCAGUGCGAGGACCCCGAGAGUAUCCCCUGAGCCCAUGACGUGCACGAACCGGCCUACCGGAUAGCAAAAUAGUGCUGGCUCUCACCGUCUGCGAGCCCGACAGAACACGUGGUGCACGGCAAGGCAUGAGGCGCCCCACCUACCCAAAGCGCUUUGGCAUCUUACCCGGCUGACAUAAAGUAGGCACACAGGGUGGAGCCGUCAUCACUCACCUUUAUGCCACACCCAGCUUUCUGCUUCUUCUUCCUGUGCGCAAGACUCCGUCACAUCCAAUCUUUGCGCAAAUCACCUCCUUGCUCCACUCCCGGCUCCGGACCAUGGAUGGUACCUACUAGUAAGAAGGGAAAGGUCAUAGCCUUUGCCGUGAGCUCUGUUGCUGUCAGGCCUGCUCUCAUGCCAUCUCGUGUCUUUGAGGAUGAGGACUUGGGCCCGGUGCUCCCCUGGUGGGGGUGACUGUGGGGACCCUAACUACGAGUCAAGACCGCCGAAUGAACGUGUAUAGUGAUCCCAGAGAUCAAUGCUCACUUGACACACAUGUAUUGAAUAACAAGAGUCUUACAUCCAUAAAUAACGUGUGAUACAAAUAAUGAUCAUCAUGAUCAAGUCUUAUGUAGAUAGGGCCUUAGUGGCCAGUCAAACCAACUCAACUAAUAGUGGAAAUCUUGGUAGAAUACGUGAACCCAUGCCAUCAACCUUAACCAACAAGCAUUCUGACGGGGAAGCGUCCUAGUUUGCUUGUCCAUCUCUAACAAUGAAUUCUUCCACAUACUCCGGUUCUUCCAUGUCUGUUCAAAUAAAAUAACCAGUGGCAAGCGAAUGAGUACCUUUAAUGUACUUGCAAGAAACCCAUGAUGUGGAACAAGGAAAUAAUGCAGCAUAAUACUCCCUCCGUUCCUAAAUAAAAGUCUUUUUAGAGAUUCAACUAAUGGACUACAUACGGAUGUAUAUAGACAUACUUUAGAGUAUAGAUUCAUUCAUUUUGCUUCGUAUGUAGACACCUAGUGAAAUAUCUUAAAAGACUUAUAUUUAGGUACGGAGGGAGUAUAUCUUAGUAUGCAGCCUUUGCGGAUAGCAGGUUUUUCCUUAAUGCGGUAACAUGGUCAAGUGUAGGUAUAUCCAUUCAUCACAAUGUAGAUGGUAAUCAUACGGAGAGGUUACAAAUAUCAACAUAUCUGUUGAAGGUUUAACAUCCCAUGUUCACCCUUCAUGCCAAGUCAUCCAACUUGACAUGCAUCAUCAUUCUCAACCACACACCCAUUCACACUUGGUUUACGCGAAAAUGACUUUAUGUAGUUUAAGCGGGAUUAGCCAGCUCUCCUUGAAUGUGGACACGGUUAUUAGAAUAUUUUUCACUCUGUAGAGGUUGCGGGUUAUACGCACGAGAUCCGGGAAACUUUCAUGUCAUCCACGACUCGCGGUACGUAAUAUACCCGAGGUAAGUACCCGAACAAUGCCUUUCCCUGUCGACUCUAGACACAGAGUCCACUCGACUCGUACCCAACCCACAUGAUGUACGUCUUACGGGCGCCAACUCUAGACCAUAUCAUCCAUGCAGGGACCAACGGUGUGCCCGGAACCUGUAAAAAUAGCAUAGACACCCUUUCUCGCACGACCCCGUCCCGAGGGUGACCAUAUCACUCCCGCCACUAGUAAUGCGGGAUCUUUGCUAACACCGACCAAAGUAAUCAACAAAGCCCCAUCCCAUAAAAGGGUACCAUGUUCGCACUUGAAAGGUUGGGAUGGUCAGCAAAUCUUAAAUUUAAUCCCAUGUUUGAACCACACACACAAAACCUUUUCCGGUACACCACUUCUUUCUCAAGUGGUUACCAUCUCAGCAGCAUCACCCUCGGUCAUUGGUGACACCCGACGGGGUUUUCAGGAAGUCUUUUUAAUCACCCUUGUGUUACCAUCACCAUGCAUAUGGUCAUCCUAUGCGUAGCACUACUAUCUACUCGUCAACUUUCCAUCAGCAUGACCCUCGCAGAUGGUAAGGUCGUACUCAAAUGCAAGUGCUCAAGAGGAGACAUCAGUAACACCAUACCGAGGAUUUACCGAUCGAUCAUGAUCAUAUGCAUCGGUGUAAAGUAAUCAACAUGGCAUGCAUCAAAUAUUUUCUCACACAUGGUCAAAGGGCUACUUGCCUUGGUCAAUUAAGUAUCCGGGGUCUUCGAGGUCUGCAGGUCCAAGUCCUUCGUCCAACACUGAACUAUCGUAAAAAUUAUAAUAGCCAUAAUAAGAACCACAACCAAUAACAGAGCACAAACUCACAUCUAAAAUGUUACCCUACUCUAUGGAAUUCUAACAUUAUUUCUAAAAGUAUUUGUUUCUGGUUUUGGAGUGGAAAACUAUUUUUAAAACUAUUUUUAAGAGAGGCUAAAAUACUUAAACUAGGUUUUAAAAUAAAACUAGGUAUAGAAGUUUUUAUAAAAAAUUCACAAGCUAUAUUAUUAAAUACUACAUAAUUUUACCAGAAUUAUGGUGGAAAAAGAUUUGAAUUUGGAUGAAUAUUUAAUCCUGUGACAAUUCAUUUAGAAAAUACAAAAAAAGGGCCAGCUCACUAGACACGCUGAAAGUGCGUUAUAUCGAUUAGAGGGGGGGUGAAUAGGAGAUUUUUUGAAUUUCAUCACUGAGAAAUUCCUUUUGAGGAAAUUCCUCACUGAUGACUAACUUACAACGGAAACAGUAAAGGAUCAGAUGUGCAAAGUUUCACAACAACAGUUUUGCAGAGUGAAGAUUGUGAAAACAGAUUGCACUAUGAGCAGGCACGCAGAAUACAGAUGAGGAUUGACUAACGUGAGGAAUUUGGGGUUGAGGUAAUUCAGAGAAAGUCUUCAACAAAUUCUUCAAACAGUCGUAGUGAAAUUCAUCAACACAUAAUAUGAGGAAAGUAAGGAGUUGAGGAAUUAGAACCCAUUUCUCAGUGAAGGCAGUCGUUGAUGACCCAGUUCCAACUGUUGUGACAGUCGUACAUCUGGUUCGGUAUUGAAACCAAAGGACACACAGUCCCGGGACACACAGUCCCUACCAAAAUCUCCUUGAGCUAAGGACACACAGUCCUCGCCCAACACUCGUGGUAAGUCUUCAGGGCAGACUUCCAAACCCUCACAAACUUGGUCACCCGGCGAUCCACAAUUGACUGCUGGAAAGCUCUAGACCAUGACGCCUAACUGUCUAGAGGAUGCACAGUCCUCAAAGGUAAAAGGCUUCAGUCCCACACAGAAACAACUUCUUCAGUGAUGCUCAAUCACUAGGUUUGGUUUGUGGUUUCGGUGUAUGAUGUAUUUCCUCACUGAUGAAUUACUCUCGAAGGCUCUGAGGAAUUGGGUUGCUCUUAUGACAAGUGUCAGUUUCUAACGGAGCAGCCAACCAGCUAGUGGUUGUGGGGGUGGCUAUUUAUAGCCUGGGAGCAUCCCGACAUGAUUUGACACUAAUGCCCUUAUGUAAUAUGACCGUUGGAGUGGAUAAGACCAGUGACUUGGCGUGGCUAUCGAAACGGUCGGAACCCUCAACUUUGAGAGUCCUCAUGUCACUCAUAUUCCUCAUUUGAGGCUUUUGGUAGGAUUAGGCUUGGGUUGAGCAUCAUGAGGAAAUUCAUUCCAUAGUGUAACUUUGACCCCCUUUAAUAGUACGGUGUUCCUAUUACUCGAAUGCGAAGAAAGUAAAACAGAAAGUGUAAAUCUUCAUGCUUCAAUUCUUCACAGUGAUUUUCUUCAGGAACCACCGGACUUCUGAAUAUCAGUAUCUUCAUGAGGAAUAUCAAUUUCAUCGCAGAUUCCUCGCGAUUCAUUUCUUCAGCUUCAGACCAAUCUCUUCAACUGAAGACAUAUAUUUUUAGGGGUCAAUAUUCUUCAAAUAUCUCAACCUCCUCAAUGACUUAUAGAUCCUGUGUACACUCACAAACACAUUAGAUACUUAACCUAUAAGUCUUCAAACCACCAAAAUCACUUAGGGGCACUAGAUGCACUUACAAUCUCCCCUUUUUGGUGGUUGAUGACAAUUAGGUUAAGUAUUCAACAGGGAUCAAAAAUAUGAAGUGUAAAUACUCAUUUGAGGAAUUUGAAAUCAAGAUUCAGAGAGACUCCCCCUGAAGAUGUGCAUAUCUUGAGGAUUUUGCUUUUUACAGCAAAUGCACAUUGAUGAUUUAUAUCAUGGAGAUCUCCUCCUGAGUCUUGUAAAUCAUGCAUACAUGUAACAUAUCAUAUGAAGAAUAUGAAGAUGCAUGAUGACAAAUGGUAUCUGACGAAUUCCAGCAUGCGUGCAUUAAAACUUGAGGAAUAAGCAUGCGUAGAAAAACGUUCAAAAGCGUCAGAGUACCAUCGGGCUUAAGUUACAAUUCAUUACAUAAAAACUUCAGAAGAGUCAAGAGUUUGUAACUUAAAUAUAGUUCAUAAGCCCCAAAAAUAUCCCGCUUGCAGACUAACUCUCAAGUUUCUCCCCCUUUGUCAUCAAGUGACAAAAAGGGACAAACUGAGGACUAACGCCCAUGAAGACUUCAGUUCUUGGCAGUUGAGGAAGAGUUGUGAUGCUUCUUGGGAGUAGUCUUCUUCCUUGGACCGGUAGUAGUGUCGAGCUAUUCUUCAUCAGUUUCAGCAGUGCGGAAUGAAGAAAAGGAGCUGUCUUCAAGGUCUGGCACUGGAAUAGGCCUUAACUUCUUCUUGGGAGGCCACGACCAUUCAAAGUCUCGCUUAAAGUCCAUUUCUUCAAGCUCAGUCUGAGUCUUCAGAUGUGCAAGUGUAGCCCAGGUGUGAUCGAAAACCUCAUGCAGAUAGUGAUGGUUGAGCUUCACAGAGUUCUGUGUUUCAGUGAGGGUUUUCACAAUGGCACCAAACUGGUGUUUGACCCAUUUGUGGUUGCGAUCCACCUUCUGGUGAAGACUGAGGAGGAGCUCUCUGGUAUUCAUCACGCGAGGAGGAAUGGGGCUUGCCGGACGAGUCUCAGUAUCAUCCCAUGAAGAAUAAGCUUCUGGCUCUCUGAACUGGCCAUCAAGGGGCCUACUGCCUUUGUCAAUCACAAAUUUUCCUUUUCCUUCAAUGGACUCGAAAGUCUUCUUGUUGACCCGAAUAGGAGGCAUAUAACCCAUAUGGUUUUGGAAAUCAGCGUGGAAGUUGAUGCAUGUCCUUGUCCUGAUGAAUCUCAUGAUCCAUGGAGCAUAUAUCUUGUGAUCAAAAGGACACAUAGCAUUAUCGGCCCAAGUCCUCAAGAAGAAAUCAUGGAUGUUGAUAGGAAUACCAUGAAUGAUGUUGAGGAGGAUAUUCUUCAUGAGGCCUACAACAUCUUCUUCAUCGUCAUGGCCUUUGAUCGGCGCGAGCACACUGCAGAGGAUUCUGUAGAUAAACCUGGGUGUGUACUUCAGCUCGUGGACGAGGAACGUUGUUCUCGGAGAUUUUCCUUCAGCCAAAGGUUUCAUGAGGACUUCCAUCAUUCCAUCUGGCAGCUCACGCUCGCCAUAAAGCUUCACAGCCUCAUCUGAGGGAAUUGGUACAGGCAGUUCUUUGAGGAGUUCAGUAGCAGGAGCCUUGUAGUGAGUGUUUUGUGACAUCCAAUCAAACACCCAAGUGUUAAUUUCUUCAGGGUUGCCAGAUAUGUGAAGAGUGGCAUAGAACUGAAGAAUUAGCUCGUUGUUCCAGUCAGAUAUGUCGAAGCACAUUGGGAGUAAACCUGCAUCAUGGAGUACACUGAGGACUGGCUCCAGGCACGGUAUUGCUUCAAGUUCAACAUGAGGAAUAUGCAUGUGCUGGAAUAUCUUGUUUCGUCCACAUAGCACAGAGCCAUAGUAAUUCAUCUGAGUCCUAGUCCAAAACUUCAGAUGCCUCAUUUGAGGCUUGUCAUAGGGGUUCUCUCCAAUGAAGUACAUGCGUUCUUCAAAGAAAUUUUCCUUUUGAAACUUUGGACGCUUGGAGAAUGGCUCACGCUGAACUGGCCGAAGAUUUUGUUGAGGAAUAGGAGGGGAGAGAACAAUGGCAGUCUCUGGGUUGAGCACGACGAAUGCAUUGUCUUGGUCAGGUGCAUUCUCCUCAGCAUUUUCCUCAGGGUGAGGAAUUUUAGCAGCUGGUACUUCAGGCUGAGGAGAUGGUGCUUGCUGGGCAUCAGGCUGAGGAGCUUGCUCUGGCUGUGCUUCAGGCUGAGGAAUUUCUUCUUCUUGCUGAGUUGGAGGAGUUGGAUCAGCCUGUUCCUCAUCUUGAGGAUUCUGCUCAGAGUGUUGAAUUUCAUCAGCUUGAGGAAUUUCAGUUUGUUCUUCCUCAGCUGGCUUUGUGGCAGAGGCAGUUUCAUCAGCUGGUGCAGCUGGUGCUUGAACAUUGUCUUUCUGAGGAAUGAAAGGCUGAGGACUGUCGUCUAUCUGAAUUUCCUCGUCAGUGAGUUCCUCAGAGGCGGAAUCUUUCAUUUCCUCGUCUGCCUUUUUCGCUGGAUCAUCAAUGAUGACCACUUCAUAGGAAGGAGUGACAUUCACGGGCACAGGGUCCAGAGGAGCAGCUUCUUCAAGUGCUUUGAGGCGCUUUGCCUCUGUUUCUUCUUGUGCUGAGGAGGCCUUUCUCUUUUUGGCUUCCUUUUCAGCAGCCCUGGUUUUCGUCACGUCUGAUGCAGACGGAGUCAUCUUCUUCACCUUUGAAGCUUUUGGUGAAGGGGUUCUCUUUACAGAUUCUUCAGCUGGUAUUGAGGAACCAGCUGGAACAGAGUCAUCUGCCUGCUUUGAUGAAGCAGCUGGUUCAGGGGUAGUCUCAUCAGCUAGAGUUUCCAUGAUGAUUUCUUCAAUAGCCGGUUCAUCAACACGGCGCUCUCGGUGUACUUCCUCAGCUUGAGGAGUUUCCUCAUCACGAGGAGAUUCAUCUGUUGGCUCCUCAAUCAAAGGCUGAGGAGUUGGUGCUGGGGGUGCGGCCUUCUUAUUGUAGUCAUCAACAACACUAGUGGCCAGCUUGAUGAAAUUGCUCUUGAGGCUUUUACGAUCUGACAGCUUGGAGUACUUGUCAGUCAAUUUCUUCAGCUCUGCCUGUGUUGACACCAGUGCAUCAGGAGUCAAUUUGAGGAGAUUCUGCUUGAGGAAUUUCUCCUUUUUAAUCUUUGCAACUUUGGCCUGCCUGGCCUGCUGUUCUUUCCACUUGGCUUCAUUGAUGAAAGUGGUCACCAUGUGGCUAAUGCCAGGCGGAAGCUUCAAAUCAUCAACUGGAGUGUUUGGGUCCUCAUACCAGAUGUUGAUGUAGUCAUGGUGGACCUUGGGGUCCAUUGCCAGAGGAAUGGCACUUCCUUAUGCUUGAGCUACUCUUUCCUGCUUCUUUCUAAUGAUGGCUUGCAGGGUUUCAUCAUCAAAUUCAUCACUUCCCUCUGAUGCAGACGGGACGGUGAUGAUUUUACUGGGGAUGGGCAGAGUUGCACGUUCAGCAGUUACCAAAGUCUUCGCAGGAGGUGCUGAAGACUUUGUCUCCGAGCUGGUUGCAGCUGGGAGUGGGGAGCUGGAGCUGGCGGUCAUAGGCUUCAUGACUUGUUUCUGUACUGGUUUCUCUUGAGGCUUUGGAGGUGGAGCUGAGGAUUUUGGAGCUGAGGAGAUUGGUACUGAGGGCUUCGGCACUGAUGGUUUUGGUGUUGAAGGUUUUGGUGCUGAAGGUUUUGGUCCUGAUGGUUUUGUGACUGAAGCCUGAGCAGACUUCUCUUGAGGCUUUGGAGCCCUUGGCUUUGAUGGCACAGACUGCAUUUGAGGAAUUUCUGAGCCAGAGGUUUCUGCGCCAGAGGAAGUAGCAGCAGCUGAGGCAGCAGCUGUGGAUUCAUUGAAUUUCCUCACUGCAGCUUCUGCCUGCUUUUUGAGCUUAGCCAGAUGCUUUUCCUUCUCAUCUGGAUAGUCAUCAAUAGUCAUGAGGCUUGAGCGAUGUGCUACUUGAUGAUCGUCAAGUGGGGCCCUUCUUCUAGGGGGCUUCAGAGCGAAUUUCUUUGCAUAUUUGGGAGUCACAAACCUGUAUUCCUUCCAUUCCUUUGCCCAUCGGCGUUCUAUCUUCUGCAGCCGUAUCUUUCUCUUGGCCAUUGUCUCAUUUUCAUCAGGCGUGCAACAGUCCAAGUAAAUAUCCUCAGGGAUAUCCACAGCUGUGGUUUGCUCAAGUUUCUUUCCUCCCUUCUGUUUUCUGUCAUCCUCCAUUUUCUUCAGUUGAGGAUUUUGCUGAUGAGAUUGAACUCUUGAGGAUUCUGAUGAGACUUGAAGAGUUUCUUCCUGAAACGCUGCAAAUGAGUUAAUGUGAUGAGAACCGAGAGACUCAUCAGCUGACAUGUGUGUACCUGUGAACAGAGUAUAGUUGCGAGGAACUUGGAGAGGUCAUAUGCGUUCUCAGAUUUGAAGAAAAUGAAAAAGUUUGACAGUUUGAGGAAUAUAACCAGUGGUUGAGGAAUUUGCCUAAGCAUACUGUUCUUGGGUUCCAGAGUUGUACAGAUCCGAAAAUUCGCACAAUUGAGGAAUCUCGUGAAAAUCUUAGAUGCUUAGCAUAGUUAAUCAAUGAUGUGGUGAUAGGAAGUGUUUGAGGAAUCAAGUGCUUAUCGUUUCUUGAGGAAAAACAGAUUUCACAUAGAAGAUGUAAAAUUUUAGAUCUAACAUGCUGUAAAAAUGGGAUUUAUUUACCCUGGAAGGUGCGCACGAAGAACACAGAAAGGUGUGUGUGGAGAAGCUCUUCGGUCGCGUGUCCAAUGCACCCUAACCCGGCGACAUAGGACGUCUACGCCAGCGGCGGACGAAGAUGGUCCGACUCCGGCGUGGUUCCGGCGACGAAGAAGUCGAGGCAGUGAAGCUCUUCCGCACCGGCGACGAGACUACCAGCGAUGGCGCUAGGGUUCGGUGGUGUAUUGUGUGGUAGGAGAGCGUUGGAGCGAAGAAGAGUAUGCCGAGGGGGAUAAGGACAUAUUUAUAGCCAAAAGUUACUAUUGGCGCAAGAAUUUCGGACCAAACAGCCCCUGCCUCUACGUCUCCGCAAGACACGUGUAGCUCCCGAACGAUGCGGUGGAGAUAGUGGAGAUCGUGGUUAUCCAAUCGUGGGAAGUGGGGUUCAGUUACUGUGUAUUAAAGAAACAAUUUUUGAAGAUUUGAGGAUUUUCAUUACAAAAUCAUCAGCUGACAAGGACGCAGUGAGAAUUUUGAACAAAGUUUCAAGUAGAACGCAUAUGAAGAAUUGAAUAGACUGGAUGAGUAUAGCAUAGAUGGAAAGUAGGGUCCGAUCACAUUCACUUAGCAGAAAUAUCAACUUGAAGAAAUUGCAAUAAGUGAAUGCUGUUGAGGACUUGAAAUCACAGUCUAUCUAGUCAAAUGAAAGUCAUCAAGUGUUUUUGAAGAUUUUGUGAUAAAUCAUCACACUGAAGAACAACUGUUUUGAAGAAAAACAUAUUUUGAGGGAAUAAAACAUUUGAAGAAAAUCAACUUGAGGAAUUUCACAUUGGGCGGUGGAGUGACCCACCAUAUAAGAAUGUUGAUUACAGACGCCGCGUACAAUUGUCGUAGGGCCCUGAGAAUCAAUUUCUUUGUUAAUUUCUUCACAUUCAGAGUGACAUUCUUCAUUAGUUGAAGAAAAUCGAUUCAUCAUGUGCUGCACAUCUAAGUCAUCAACUUUGCAUAAGUGUUAGGAUGUGUGCAUGUUUUUUUACAAAACAUUUGAAGAUUCUAAGAUAUUUAGCUCACACCGCAACUUGCAAAACCUUUUCUCAUCCAAGGGCUUAGUGAAGAUAUCUGUCAGUUGAUCAUCAGUCUUCACAUGGUCAAUGAGGAUAUUGCCCUUGAGGACAUGGUCCCGAAGAAAAUGCCGAAUCUGGAUGUGCUUGGUCUUCGAGUGCUGUACAGGGUUGUGCACAAUCUUGAUAGCACUCUCAUUGUCACAGUAGAGAGGCACAUUCUUCAUGUUGAUGCCGUAGUCCUUGAGGGUUUGCUUCAUCCAUAGCAAUUGAGCACAGGAAGAACCAGCACCAAUGUACUCAGCUUCAGCAAUGGAGAGUGAUACGUAGUUCUGCUUCUUUGAGGACCAGCAAACUAGUGAUCUUCUGAGGAAAUGGCAUGUGCCAGAAGUUGACUUGCGAUCCACACGGUCACCAGCAUAGUCAGAAUCAGAAUACCCUACCAGAUGAAGAUUGGAGCCCUUCGGAUACCAUAAUCCUAGUGUUGGUGUGUGAGCUAAGUAUCGAAGAAUAUGUUUGACAACCUUAUGGUGUGAUUCCUUCGGUUUUGCUUGAAAACAUGCACACAUGCAAACAUUAAGCAUUAUAUCUGGCCUAGAUGCACAUAGAUACAAUAAAGAGCCAAUCAUAGAACGAUAUACCUACUGAUCGAAGUCUUUACCAUUUUCAUCAGUGCCGAGGUGGCCGUUGGUAGGCAUUGGAGUCUUAGCACCUUUGCAUUCAUGCAUGUCGAAUUUCCUCAGAACAUCCUUGAGGUAUUUCUCCUGUGAUAUGAAGAUUCCAUUGCUUUGUUGACGAAUUUGAAGACCCAAGAAGAAUUUCAGCUCCCCCAUCAUGGACAUCUGAUAUUCUUCACUCAUCAUGUUGGAAAAUUCAUCACUGUAUUGUUUGUUAGUACAGCCAAAUAUGAUAUCAUCGGCAUAUAUUUGACAUACAAAUAGCUCAUUAUCAUAGGAUUUUGUGAAAAGAGUUGGAUCGAGUGAACCAGGUUUGAAGCCUUUCUUCAUGAGGAAUUCCUUCAAUGUAUCGUACCAUGCCCGAGGGGCUUGCUUGAGACCAUAAAGAGACUUUUUGAGUCUGAAGACUUUGUCUGGAUUCUUUGGAUCCUCAAAACCUGGGGGCUAAGCAACAUAUACUUCUUCCUCAAGCUUACCAUUGAGGAAUGCACUUUUCACAUCUAUUUGAUAUAAAAUGAUGUUAUGAUGAUUAUCAUAAGCAAGUAGUAUUCGAAUAGCUUCAAGUCUAGCAACAGGUGCAAAAGUUUCAUCGAAAUCUAUUCCUUCAACCUGGGUGUAGCCUUGGGCUACAAGUCGUGUCUUGUUCCUCACCACUUGACCGUCCUCAUCUUGCUUGUUUCGGAAAAUCCACUUGGUGCCGAUGAUGUUGUGGUUGCGAGGAUCUGGUCGUUUGACGAGCUCCCAUACGUCAUUCAGCUUGAAUUGAAGAAGUUCGUCUUGCAUAGCUUGGAUCCACUCCGGUUCCAGAAAAGCCUCAGCAACCUUUGAGGGUUCUGUGAUGGAUACAAAGGAAAAAGGCCCACAAAAGUUAACUAAGUGUGAAGCUUUUGAGCGAGUGAGAGGACCUGGCGCGUUGAUGUCAUUGAGGAUUUUGUCAAGUUCUACUUCGUUUGUAAUCCUUGGAUGAGCUGGUUGAGGAUUUUGUCUGGGCUGAGGAAGUGGUGCUGGUGCAAUUUCCUGAGGAGCAUCUUCUUGAUUUUUAUCAGUGAUGGGGAUCGUUUCUUCACCAAUUUCCUCAGUGGGGACAAUGUCUUCAGUAGGCUUGAGCUUUAUUGCUUCCUCACGAGACAGCUUAUCUGGAUCAGAAGGCAAUUUCUCUCUUUGUGAGCCAUUAGUUUCAUCGAACCGCACAUCUACAGUCUCAACAACUUUCUUAUGAUAGUUGUUGAAGACUCUGUAAGUGUGCGAGUCCUUUCCUUAACCGAGCAUAAAACCUUCAUGUGCCUUAGGUGCAAAUUUUGAGCUAUGGUGAGGAUCUCUAAUCCAGCAUUUUGCACUGAAGACUUUGAAAUAACUUACAUUGGGUUUCUUGUCAGUGAGGAGUUCAUAUGAGGUUUUCUUGAGGAAUUUGUGAAGAUAUACCCUGUUGAUGAUAUGGCACGCAGUGUUGAUUGCUUCAGGCCAAAAGCGACGAGGAGUCUGAUAUUCUUCAAGCAUAGUUCUUGCCAUUUCAACCUGAGUCCUGUUCUUCCUUUCGACGACACCAUUCUGCUGAGGAGUAUAAGGAGCAGAUAAUUCAUGAGUAAUACCAAGUUCAUCAAGAUAAUCAUCAAGACCAGUGUUUUUGAACUUAGUACCAUUAUCACUCCUGAUAUGUUUGAUCUUGAUGCCAAAGUUCGUCGAGGCCCUUGAAGAAAAUCGUUUGAAGAUUUCCUGCACUUCAGUUUUAUACACUAUGAUAUGCACCCAAGUAUAUCUCGAAUAAUCAUCAACUAUGACGAAGCCAUAUAAUGAUGUUGCAUUGGUUAGUGUGGCAUAGUGAGUAGGUCCAAAUAAAUCCAUAUGAAGCAGUUCGAAUGGACGUGUAAUGGUCAUGAUAGUUUUAGAGGGAUGCUUGGAUCUGGUCAUUUUCCCAGAUUCACAAGCACCGCAGAGAUGAUCCUUGAGGAAUUUGACCGAUUCGAUGCCGAUAACAUGCUUCUUCUUCGCAAGCGUGUGCAAAUUCCUCAUGCCUGCAUGACCUAGUCUUCGGUGCCACAACCAUCCUUCUGAGGUUUUUGCUAGUAAGCAAGUGGCUGGUUGAGGACCUGUAGAGAAAUCAACAAUGUACAAAUCCCCUCUUCUUACACCUUCGAAGACUAUGGAUCUGUCAGAUUCCAUGACGACUACACAUCUAUAUCUACCAAAGAUAACAAUCAUAUCAAGAUCACAAAGCAUCAAGACUGACAUAAGGUUAAAACCAAGGGAUUCAACAAGCAUCACUUUGUCCAUAUGCCUAUCCUUGGAAAUAGCCACUUUGCCAAGUCCCAAUACCUUGCUUUUACCUUCGUCAGCAUAUGUGAUUUGCUUCAGAGGUGAUGGAGUUAGUGGCAUAUUCAUCAGUAAGCUUUUAUCACCAGUCAUGUGAUGUGUGCAGCCACUAUCAAGAACCCACUCAGUAUUCUUGGGCUUGUCAUCCUGCAGAUGAAUUAGUACAGCUUACCAUCUCAUAUGCUUCAGAUGUGAAGAAUAUGAUGCUAAUUUCAUCAGAUUAGUAAUUUCAUCAUAACAAAAAUGUAAGGACGUGUGAAAUAUUUCUAUUUCAUCCAUCAUUAGCUUGCGUCCUAUCAAGCAUUUCCUCAGGUCUCCAGCAAAUUCUUCAUAUGAUGAUUUUCAUCUGGAGACCUGACCUGCAGAAAUGAUUAGUUCGAUUUCUUCACCACCCACAUCUGAAGGGGUGGCAAAGCAUUCAUCAUCCUGUGAGCACCAUAUGAGAAAGGUGGCAUUGAAUCCAAUGCACUUCUCUUACCAGUAGGGGGGUUAAAGUACUCAUAUGAAUAUGCAGAGAACUGGUUAGAGGAUUUAUGAACAUAAUGAUUUGAGGAGUAACGAUCAUAUUCAUAUUCCUUGUACUUUCCCUGCACAUUAGACGUAUUAGCACGGGUACGAGCAUAGAUUUGACCAGUUGAGGAUUUUGAUCCUCUUGAAGACUUUGGUCCUCCUGAGGAAUUUGAUCUGGGGUUCAGAUUCUUCAGUGGUGGUGUCAUGAGGACAUUCACCUGAAGAUUUUCAAGACAGCUUUUGGGAACCCAGAUUUUCCUCAAGGGAGGGCCAUUCCUGUAGUUAGUUCCAACAUAUCGAGCAAAUACUUCACCAGAUUGAUUUUUGAACAGUUUAUAGUUGGAGUCAAAUGACUCAUCUGAGGAAUAGGAUAAUUCACAUGAAAAACCAGUUAGAUUAGAUGGAUCAAAAGGAGGCCCAGUAGCAGCAACCCAUGAGGUUUUGGGAUACUGCUCAGGUUUCCAAUAGGAUCCAUCAACAUUUAAUUUCCUCUCAAAGGCAAUUCCUUCUUUCCAUGGGUUCCUGUUCAAGAUCUGCUUUUUGAGCACAUCACAAAGGGUUUGAUGUCCUUUGAGACUUUUGUAUAUGCCUGUCACGUACAAUUCCUUCAACCCUGCAUUUUCAUCAGUAACAUUCGUGUUUUCCUCAAGUGAGGAAAUAGACACAACAGGUGCAGUUGAAGAAUUUGUAGCAAUGGUAGCAUUUGAUGAUUCUGGUGAGGAAUUAGCAGUUUCGCGUUCAGUGCAUUUAAGACAUGGAGGAAUAAAUUCAACUUGACCAGCGUUGAUUUGUUGAGCUAGUAAUGAAUCAUUUUCCAUACAAAGAUCAUCAUGAGACAUCCUCAGCUUCUCAAGAUCAAGCUUCCUUUGAAGAAAUUCAUAGGAAAGCUUCUCAUGAUCAGUGAGGAGUGUAUCAUAACGAUCCUGAAGAUUAUCAAAUCUAGACUGAAGACUUUUCACAUCAUCAGUGAGGAUUUGGGUAAGGUUCAUUUCAUCAUUCAACAGAUCAUCACUUUUAUCUAGCAGUUUCUGAAGCUUUUCUAGAGCAGUUUGUUGUUUAGUGGCAAUGAUAGCAAGUUUACUGUAACUGGGUUUCUUAUAAUCAUUAGGUUCUAGUCACUUGAAUCAGAGGAGGAGGCAUUAUUUGGUACCUUCGAACCUUUUGCCAUGAAGCAAUAGGUUGGAGCGAAGUCAUCAGCAUAGUUAUCAGUAUGGAUGGUGCAAUCAUUUUCUUCAAGAUUGAAGACUGACUUGAUGACGAAAGUGGUUGCCAGUGCAAGACUAGCCUGUCCGGAUUCUGAGUCUUCAUCGGAACCCUCUUCUUCAUCACAUUCCUUUGAUUCUGCCUCGGAGUCCAUUUCCUUGCCAAUAAGUGCGCGAGCCUUUCUGAAACUACUCUUCUUGUGUGAUGAGGGCUUUGAAGAUGAGGAUUUUGAAGAUUUCUUCUUCUGCUUCGAGUCAUCAGAACUGUCAUCCUUGUAUUUCUUCUUCUUUGAUUCCUUUCCCCAACGGGGACAAUCAGCAAUGUAAUGACCUGAUUUCUUGCACUUGUGACAGAUUCUUCUCUUGUAGUCCUCAGAUGAAGAUUCUGAUUUCCUCAUGUCUCUUCUUGAAGAUUUACAAAAAUGGCCACGUCGUGUAAAUCUCUGGAAUUUCCUCACGAGCAUUGCAAGCUCCUGUCCAAAUUCAUCAGGGUCACAAAUGCUGUCAUCUGUGUCUUCUUCUUCAGAUGAGGAAAUUGCUCUAGCCUUCACUGCACGUGGUCUGGAAUAGCUUGGUACAUAUAGAUCUCUCUUUUCUUCUAGCUGGAAUUCAUGAGUAUUUAGCCUUUCAAGUAUAUCAGCUGGAUCAAGCAUCUUGUAGUCUGGUCUUUCUUGAAUCAUCAGAACUAAACUAUCAAAUGAAGAAUCCAAAGAUCUCAGCAGUUUCUUCACAACUUCGUGAUCGGUGAUGUCUCGAGCUCCCAGUGCUUGAAGUUCAUUUGAUAUGUCAGUGAGGCGAUCAAAGGUGUCUUGGCAACUUCCAUUGUCAUGUCUCUUGAAGCGAUUGAAGAGAUUGCGAAGAAUAUCAACACGAGAGUCACGCUGGGUUGAUAUUCCUUCAUUUACCUUGCACAGUCUCUCCUAGAUCAGUGUUGCAGAGCCCAAAGCACUUACUCUUCCAAACUGGCCUGGGCUCAGAUGGCCACAGAUGAUGUUCUUCGCUUGAGAAUCGAGUUGCUUGAAUUUCUUCACAUCAGCCACAGUGACACUAGCAGAGAUGAUGGGGACGCCAUGUUCCACAAUAUACCAGAGAUCAUUAUCAAUAGCUUGUAGAUGCAUUUGCAUUUCGUUCUUCGAGAAGGGAAAGUUCUUUCCUUCGUAGGUAGGACAUGCUGCAGUCACCUUAAACAUGCCUGCAGUCGACAUAACUAAAACUCCAGGUGGUUAAACUAAAAUCACACAGAACAAGGGAGUGCCUUGCUCUUAUACCAAUUGAAAGUGCGUUAUAUCGACUAGAGGGGGGGUGAAUAGGAGAUUUUUAGAAUUUCAUCACUGAGGAAAUUCCUCACUUAUGACUAACUUACACCGGAAAUAGUAAAGGAUCAGAUGUGCAAAGUUUCACAACAACAGUUUUUCAGAGUGAAGAAUGUGAAAACAGAUUGCACUGUGAGCAGGCACACAGAAUACAGAUGAGGAUUAACUAACGUGAGGAAUUUGGGGUUGAGGAAAUUCAGAGAAAGUCUUCAACAAAUUCUUCAAACAGUCGCAGUGAAAGUCAUCAACACAUAAUACGAUGAAAGUAAGGAGUUGAGGAAUUAGAACCCGUUUCUCAGUGAAGACAGUCGUUGAUGACCCAGUUCCAACUGCUGUGACAGUCGUACACAGUCCCUACCGUAUUCUCCUUGAGCUAAGGACACACAGUCCUUGCCCAACACUCGUGGUAAGUCUUCAGGGCAGACUUCCAAACCCUCACAAACUUGGUCCCCCGGCGAUCCACAAUUGACUGCUGGAAAGCUGUAGACCAUGACGCCUAACCGUCUCCAGGAUGCACAGUCCUCAAAGGUAAAAGGCUUCAGUCCCACACAGGAACAACUUCUUCAGUGAUGCUCAAUCACUAGGUUUGGUUUGUGGUUUCGGUGUAUGGUGUAUUUCCUCACUGAUGAAUUACUCUCGAAGGCUCUGGGGAAUUGGGUUGCUCUUAUGACAAGUGUCAGUUUCUAACGGAGCAGCCAACCAGCUAGUGGUUGUGGGGGUGGCUAUUUAUAGCCCGAGAGCAUCCCGACAUGAUUUGACACUAAUGCCCUUAAGUAAUAUGACUGUUGGAGUGGAUAAGACCAGUGACUUGGCGUGGCUAUCAAAAUGGUCGGAACCCUCAACUGUGGGAGUCCUCAUGUCACUCAUAUUCCUCAUUUCAGGCUUUUGGUAGGAUUAGGCUUGGGUUGAGCAUCAUGAGGAAAUUCAUUCCAUAGUGUAACUUCGAUCCCCUUUAACAGUACGGUGUUCCUAUUACUCGAAUGUGAAUAAAGUAAAAUAGAAAGUGUCAAUCUUCAUGCUUCAAUUCUUCAGAGUGAUUUUCUUCAGGAACCACCGGACUUCUCAAUAUGAGUAUCUUCAUGAGGAAUAUCAAUUUCAUCGCAGAUUCCUCGCGAUUCAUUUCUUUAGUUCAGACCAAUCUCUUCAACUGAAGACAUAUAUUUUUAGGGGUCUAUAUUCUUCAAAUAUCUCAAACUCCUCAAUGACUUAUAGAUCCUGUGUACACUCACAAACACAUUAGAUACUUAACCUAUAAGUCUUCAAACCACCAAAAUCACUAAGGGGCACUAGAUGCACUUACACACGCAGGACCAGCAGCUGGGCUGUCCCAACUGGCCAACCGGGCAACCAGCGAGUCAGCCAACCCAGGCGCGUGCGCCGUCACGUUUAAACCUAAUGCAUGGGGCCCUAUGGCCAGCGAUUGAGAGGAGAGGGGAGAGAGAGACGGCCGCCGACAGGUGGGGCCCUCCUGUCGGGGUUGUAUCCUACCUCAGGACAGAGGGGAGGGGGAGCCUACCGGCGGCAGUUCCGACGAUGUCGAGGACAGGCGAGUGCAAGAAUGGACUCCUCGCACUCCGGCCUCUCGGAUGAGGGUCGAAUGAAAGUCGGUGGUGGCCUGCAUCGCCGGUGGUGAAGAAGUCACAGCGAAGAAUUUCAGGAAGGUCAGUGUGUCCCAAGAUCGUCGAAGCCCCGAUGCGGCGGCGCCUCGGUUGAUCUCGAGCACCGUUGCUCGUUUAGUUCAAGGGGGCACUGGUGGUGGUCAGUUGGAAGCUAGAGAGACGUGCUUGAGGUACGGGGGAGAUCUAGGUGCCUUUAUAUGGGCGGGUGAUGAUACAUCAGAGCAUGGUGCACCGACGAUGCUGCAGCAGCGGCUAGAGUAGAAGAUUGGAGUCAGGAGUGAGCCCGUGGUAUUUAGGACCGAGGGGCAUCUUCAAGAGGUGUGGGGGCAGGCUCUUGGGGCGCCGCGGUGGCGGGGUUCUAUUGGACGGUUCGGGCGCGCGCGGGCACUUGUCGCCAGGGGCAAAGGAGAGGGGGAAGAGAGUGGCCUGACACAGCUGUGGCCUAGGCCGACGAUGCAAUCAAAGAGUGGCAACAGGAGUGGCAAGAUCUGGUUGUGGCUUACCUCACUGGGCUCGGGUGCGCCCUGUAACGCAUGCAGAGCUUAGCGUUGGCAUGCCACGACAUGCUCGCGCGCUCUGGCACAUCUGGGCCAUGUCUGCGGGAGUCUCGGGGUGUGGUAAAUGCCAUUGGGAUGCUUUGGGCCGAGGGGAAUCAAGCUGGUCAAAAGGACGGGUGUUAAACACAUGUUGUCAGCAUUGAUUUAGGUGGUUAACUGAGGAUUUUGGCUCCCUCUCAUUGAACUGGUGCUGGAGCUCUCGGCUGCAGCUAUAGGAACACAAAGGUAACGUGUGACACAAUUUUGGAGUGAGGCAGUAAGUGUUGGGGGUGCUAGUUGCUGGUUUUCUAAACUGGCAAAAGGUGUUUGAUGUUGGUUUGGGGAAGUUAAAGUCCUCCAAUAGCCUUGAUAGUUAACAGGAUUGGAUGGAGGACAUAGUUAGGAGGCUUUACCAAUAAUGGGCUCAACGUAAACUUGAAAAUACCCACAAAUGGGGAGAUCUGGAAUCCUGUGAGAAAAUGUGGUCAAAUCAAUUCCCACAAAUCCAAUUCUUGGCAUGUCCUCCUUAUUUGGGGUAUUGAACACUCCUGCAAAGUUUCAGAUCAAGUGGACAAACUUGGCAAUGUAAAGUUGUUCCAAUUUCAUUCUGGACAGAAAGGUUUUCUGGAUUAUUUGGUGAACCAAACCACCUUGGAUGGAGGUGAACUUGGUAUGAUCCUCAAAUAUAGCAUGUGGGUCAUGCUAGAGUUUCCUUGGAAUUUAUUGAGAGUAUUUCCUUUGGAAAUACUUCAUAAGGUCAAAAUAGACAAAAAUGGUCUCUAGUCCAAUAUUUUGAAGAUGACAAGGGGUUGAAACUCUUAUGUAUGUAAAAUAUAUGUCCUCGGAGUCUUCCUCAAUUUUAUCAGAUUUUUCUAAGGUAGAAAGAUAUUUUUUCACCAAGAAAUACCAUUUCUGGCCUUAGAAAAGGAUUUAUAAGUAAAAUCGAGAAACGACUUUAAAAAUAAUUAUUUGACGCUUUUGAAGAGUUAUUUUAAUAUUAGAAUCAAAAUGCAAUCUUUGGGUAAAAGCACUUCCCUCAAAUCAGGGAGUUGUAGUGCAAAUCCCAAAGGAGGGGUUUGAAGCUAAAAACUAAUAAAAAGGGUUUUGUAGAAAUAAUAUUUUACAAAAACUAUUUCUGGUGAUCGACUCACAAGCACACAUACAAGCAAUUACAAUCAAGAAACUCAUGGCACUUUCAUAAAAGUUUGAAUUUAUUGCAAGUUUUGGAAAGAAAAUAAUAGUGGAAAGGUGGUUCAAAAACAAGGUGUGAGAGUGACACGAAAAAGGGGUGAGGGACCGACAUGAGGCUGGGUUCGGCAGUGUCGAGCAGCCUGGUAAAGACCACCUACCCCUUCUUCCUCCAUCGAAUCUAUGCUGGGCUGGUCCUGCCGUUCUCUGAUUUCUUCUACGCCAUCCUUUCACAUUAUCAAAUCCAUGCCCUGCACCUUUAGCCUAACUCUGUCCUCCUCCUGAUUAUCUUCGCAUUUUACUACGAGGCUUUCAUGGGCGUGAGGCCCUUAGUGGCGCUCUUCCCUCGUUUCUUCAACUUUCGGUUUACCGCCCCGGGCCAACGAUCUACAUGUGUUCCCUUUGUUAAUGUCGCGGGCGCGGGCACUCACCUGAAGGCCAAGAAGAAGUGGAAGGCUGGAGGCACCAUUGGGCCUAUAUGGAAGCACGCCUAGAGAGUCCACUCUUGGCGACCCCCACGGGUCCGCCCGAGAAAAUCUCUGGGUUGAGCCACAAGAAACUCAGCGACCCGAGGGCGGGGCCUGUCUUGGAGUGAACCAUCACUUUCGCUAAGGCCUGCUUAAUUUGGGCAAUGAUCAUCAAGGAGUUCUUGGGGCAUCAUAUCGUGUCGAUUCAGGCGCAAACACCCUUUGAGGAUUUCAUCGGCGGGAGGGCCUUACGCACGCCGAGCUAGAUGGAGCCUUUGGGGAUCUUCUUGGUUCUGAUCCCGAGGACCUUUCACGCCACCGAUGUAUGCCUGCAAUGACAUGAAGGAACUGGUCGCGGAGAUGCCCAACUUUGAUGAGUGGGGGCUCAUCGGGUCGCACAAGGGUUCCUCUAUCACGGUGUCGUCCUUGGACAAGGACAACGGUGAUCAGGACUCGCGGGCGACGAAAGGGGAGGCGAUCACCCCUUCUCCAUCCGUCCUUGCGCAGCCUCGGGGACAAUGUUGUCAUGGAUAAGCGGCAGGAGGCGAUCCCCCUGGGCCAGUGGCCUCGGGAGAAGUAGCGGGUUCAUGCCCCAUGGAAGCCGUUGUGCUGGUGGCGGGAUCCCCUCGCGAUGGUGCGGUGCCUGCCCUAGCUACAGAUGUACCUCUUCGGGGGACACCUGGGGCCCCUAGAGAGGAUAUAGUAGGGGCAAACUCGUUGGGGACCACAUCGAGCACCCCUCUAGUGGUGGCGGGGCAAUGCGUGAUGGAACCGAGGGCGCGCCACCUGCCACCGAGAAGAAGAGGAAGUGGGACAUCGGGGACGAGUAGGUACCUUAGUCCAUCCUCAUGUUGUUCACCCCUGGUUGGUAUAGUCAAGCCAACCUUCUUCAGCGCACGCGCCCUGGUAGCGGCCGGGAGAAGAAGAAGAGGGCCACCAUUGGUGCGAAGGUGAGACCUGUAUCGAGCGUGCCAUCAUCCCUUGGGCGUAGCCUUGGCAGGCGCAGGGGUGUCUUACAGAGCCCCGAUGCCGUACUUGGGCAUAUGAGCACCACUGCAGCUCGAAGUGUCUCAUCUUUGCAGCGAGGGAGCCCUAGCACCCAGGACGGUACAGCCGACCCCCCGGCACCCCCAGCCAAGGCCACGGCGGUCCUGCCCCGGCAACAUCUGUCGAGGCUGCGGCGGCCCAGCUCACGCGGGAGGAAGGAAUGUCUCAUCCUCUGUGAGCCAUCCAAACCCCGCAGCGAGCCCCAAUGCAGGAUGCAACACCGGCCUUCCUCAGGCCGCGGUCACCCUCGAGACCCGAGAGGUUCGUGCGAUAGCCUUUGAAAGUGUACCGCAUAUGCCAAAUGUGGGGGAGAACCCAAAGCCCCCUGUGCCUCGGUAGGAGGGCAUCGGAGCUGCUUUGGUUACGCCUGCAGGCACCUCUGGGAUGGCGGCCCCUCGGGAGGCCCUUGCUUUGGUGGGCUAGGACGCGUUGCUCAGGCGUGGGGCCCUGAGCGACGCCUGGGAUGCGCUCACCCAACUUAGGCAAGCUUUUGGUAUGCGCUCGACCUCCUUGAGUUGGAUUUCUAGGACGCUGAGGCGUGUUUGGUCAUGGAACGCACGAGGUUAGCCGCGGGGUGACGCCAACUUGACGCCUCUGCCAAGGAGGCCCAAGGCAAGGCUGAGGCCGUUCAUGCGGAGGGACAGAGGGAGGCCGCCGAGGCAAAGGCCGCUCGUGCAAGUGCUCCUACCAAGAAAGAGGCGCUCGCCAAGCGCUGUGAAGAGACGGAGGCCAGCUUGAAGGUGCUUCACGAGUGGAUUGUUGAAACACAGCAGGUCCAGCCAUGGGAGGAGGACGUCAGGCAGCGAGGCGAAGCUUGUGGACCGGAACUCCGAAUAGGCUACGGAGUGCGGGCGCCUGGAGGUGCUCCAACGCGAGGUGGCCGAGGCCUAGGACGCCUACGCCAAGCGCUCGAAGGCCAACGCCAAGCGCUCGAAGGCCAACGCCAAGCUGGUCACGCGGGAAGAGGAGAUUCGGGCUUCUACCGAUGUAAAGGUAGUAGUGGACCACGCCGUUCACUCCUGUGUGAAACUCAGGGCCCGCCAGGCCCUGAGCCUUAUGUGUAGGGUGGAGCUCGAGUCUCCCCUCAUCCCUUAGGGCACCAGCUAUGCCAAGCUUUCCUUCGAGCUUGUGAAGGAGCUUGAGGGCGUGGCUAAGAAGGUGGACGACAUCCUCGAGNNNNNNNNNNNNNNNNNNNNNNNNNNNNNNNNNNNNNNNNNNNAAUGCCGUGACAUCUUCUUCGUGAUGGUGACCCGCGUCUUCAGCCAUCUCCUCCUUCGUGAUCCCCGCUUCAAGUUCGACGAGGUGACGUGCCCCGUGCCUGAGGGAUCCCACGAUGACUAGGCGGCAGCCAUGGAGGGCCACGUGAACACGCUGCUGGGAAUGGUUUUCUCCGGCGAUGGCAAGGAGCCCAGAGAGGAUUGAUCUGUUAUCAACCAGAAAUAGAUUUCCCUUGGCUCGAGGAGGCGUUAGAUGAUAAUUUGAUCAUAUGGAACAAUCUUAAAUUUGUAAUGAUCGUUUAUGAUUCGUAAUUUUCGUUCCCACACUCGGUUUCUAUCUUGCUUGCCUUUGUGCUCUGCGUCGGCAGGGCCCAGCUCUACGGAUACCUCAGCCGUCGCUAGAACGCCAGGUCAUGAUGCCUGAGCAGAACCAGGAGGUGAGGGCCACAUGACUAGUGAAGGUUCCUAAGGCACGAUGCUCAAGAGCCCCCUUUGAUGCGCAAGCGGCUUGCUUGAGGGCCCAUGCAUUCACCAUUGGGAACCUUUGCGCUCUGUGUCGGUAGGGCCCAUCGCUGCGUGUACCUUAACGGCCACUAGAAUGCGAGGGGGUGAGGGACUACAGGACUAGUGAAGGUUCUUGAGACGCGAUGCUAAAAAAACCGUCCACCUUCACGCACAAGCAGCUCGCUAGAGGGCCCUCGCAUUCAACGUUGACCGCCUUUGUACUCUGCGUCGGCAGGGGCAGCCCUGUGCGUACCUCAGCUGACACUGGAACGCUGGGGGUGAGGCGCUACAGGACUAGUGAAGAUUCCUGAGAUGUGAUGAUCAAGAACUCCCCCCUUGAUGCGCAAUCCUCUCUCACAGGGACGAUUUGGUUGGAGCACCAUGCGCAUGCCUGCUUACACUUGGGUGUUGCAUGAGUAGACUAGACACUAAGGACCCAGGAGGUGACGUGCACGGGGGUAAACUUGUGAGACAGACUUGGAUUGCUUGGAAUUUUGAGCGUUGCAGGGACUAACCCGAGCACAUGCACCGUGUCCAGCCCUCGCUCGCGCGAGGUACAAGGGGAAGUUGGCAAGCACGGAGCUCUCAUGAUACUCCCCAGCACGAUGCAUGGGGUUUCCACUUGGGCAUGGUCAUAGUCGCGGUUCGACAGUAAUUCUGCCAGCGUGGAGCAUGGGGACUUCCACUUGGGCAUAGGCGGGAGCCCCCUUCCAAGGCCACGACGCGGCUCGUUGUGGGCUUCCACUUAUUAUUACGUGAGAGUCUCAGGGGCGGCGAUUAUAAAGUUGUCGGACACCCUGGGCACUAGGCUCAGGAGCUCCUAGUCUCAGUCUUCACGCGGGGUGCGCCUUAUUCUUUGCACAUCAGCGCACUUACGGGCCCUGUGACAUGGGGGCGACAUGUGUCGAGUGAUUGACGCGAGGCCACUGCACGAAGGGGUUGAGCACCGAGGACCCCAGGAGGUGACGUGUACGGGGGUAAGCCCUUUAGACAGAGCUCAAUCACUCAGGUUUAGUGAUGUUGCAGGGACGAACCCGAGCACAUACGUCGUGCCAAAUCACACAAGGAUGGCGCCCGAGGCGACGAAGCACCAAACCGACACUGAUGCAUAUUAAACCGACCCCCAUUAGCCCGUUCGCGGUAACCCCGUGAGGGGCGAGACACCAAGUACCUUGGGAGGUUACGUGCACAGUAACAAGCCCAUGAGACACAACUCGGUCACUUGGAUUUGUCAACGCUGCAGGGAUGAACCCAAGGAUAGAUACCGUGUAUAGCACCUACAAGGGAUAUCCGAGAGGCAGGUUGAAAUAGUGCGGUCACUCCGAAUGAUGGUGAGUCACCAAACGUAGGGUUUAAGUGAACGACAUAAGCUUUGAAGGGAAUAACAGUGUUUACUACACAAUCAAAAAGCAAUAAUUCAUGAUUGCGGUCCCUCGUGCCUGAGGAUAACGCAUCCUGAAGGGUGCCCUCGAUCUCAAAUACAACAACAAAUCACCUGGCGAUUGUGCUGUCGCACGAGCUCCGGGUUACUUGAUGAAGUGCGUCAUGAAGCCCCCCCCCCCCCAGCUCUAGGGGCUCGCGAGGUCCAGGAGGCACACGAGGUGCCAUUGUGAGCCAUGCCAAGCUUGGGAAGGUAGCACCUGUGUUUUCCAGGCUGAAGGGCAUGCGAACAUAGCCGACGGCGGUGCCUAGGCCUAGGACCACGUGCGAAGGCCAGAAGGAGGUUCACGAGCCGACCCCAUUGAGUCCUGCAACAUCGACGCACACACGCAUCCCACCGGUCCUCUUGGGAGUGACGAUCCUCUUGUUGCAAAUAUGCCCUAGAUUCAAUAAUAAAUUGAUAUUAUUAUAUUUCCUUGUUCAUGAUAAUUGUUUAUUAUCCAUGCUAGAAUUGUAUUGAUUGGAAACUCAAAUACAUGUGUGGAUACAUAGACAACACACAGUCCCUAGUGAGUCUCUAGUUGACUAGCUCGUUGAUCAAUGAUUGUCAAGGUUUCCUGCCAUAGACAAGUGUUGUCACUUGAUAACGUGAUCACAUCAUUAGGAGAAUGAUGUGAUGGACAAGACCCAAACUAUGAACAUAGCAUAUGAUCGUGUCAGUUUAUUGCUACUGUUUUCUGCAUUCAAUGUAUCCGUUCCUAUGACCAUGAGAUCAUGCAACUCCCGGACACGGAGGAAUACCUUGUGUGUAUCAAACGUCAAAACGUAACUCGGUGACUAUAAACGUUCUCCACAGGUAUCUCCGAAGGUGUAUAUUGGGUUGGCCUGGAUCAAGACUGGGAUCUGUCACUCUGUGUGAUGGAGAGGUAUCUCGGGGCCCACUCAGUAAUACAACAACACAAUAAGCCUUGCAAGCAAUGUGACUAUGGAGUUAGAGUCCCGGAUGAGAUCCCAGACGUCACGAGGAGUUCUGGAAUGGUCCGGAGGUAAAUAUUUAUAUAUGGGAACUCCUAUUUUGGCUAUGAGAAAAGUUUCGGGUAUUAUCGAUAUUGUACCGGGAAGCUUCUGGAAGGUUCCAAAGGGUUCCCAAUGAGUCCGGAAGGGUCCCUCUAGCCCCUAGGACGGGCAUGGGCUGUAAGGGGGCGUACAAGCCUUGUUGGGCCAGCCCCCAAGGGCCCUUGUGCUUGGGAGGGAAGAGUCCCUAAAGAGGGAGGAAACCUCCCUAGGCCCACGCCCCUACUUGGAGGAGGGGCUAGGGCUGCGACCCAGCCCUCCUCCUAGCCUCCUAUAUAUAGUGGGGGAGAGGGAGGGGCUGAACACAUCAAUUCCCAUGCCCCGGUGGCAGCUCUACCUCUCCCAUAACUCUGUUCUCUCCUCAGAUCGGUUCCGACAACGCUUGGCGAAGCCCUGCUCGCACUGCUCCACCAUCAUCUCCACCAUGCCAUCGUGCUGGUUCGGAUCCCAUCUACUUCUCCUUCCUCUGUUGCUGGAUCAAGAAGGAGGAGACAUCAUCGAGCUAUACGUGUGCUGAACACGGAGGUGCCAUCCGUUCGGCGCUAGAUCGGGACAGAUCUUGAUGAGAUUGCGGGACGGGCUACGAUUUCGAUCGCGAAGAUGUUCCACUAUAUCAACCGCAUUAUAUACGCUUAUGCUUAGCGAUCUACAAGGGUAUGUAGAUUCACUCUCCCCUCUCAUAGAUGAUCAUCACCAUGGAUAGACCUUGUGUGCACGUAGGAAAUUUUUGUUCCCCAUGCGAUGUUCCCCAACACCUCUCGACAAGGCACUCCAGGUGACGUGCGCCACGCAUGCCGCGUGCAUCCCGCAACUUGUUGAUUUUCUGGGUGAUGAACUCCUGUGCCCCCGGAGUUCGGUGUCAUACCCUUUCCUCAAGAGGGUGCGCGUUGAGGCACGCCUCUAGGUGGUGCCCAAGUACCUCUCUCUAUGUACCAGCCAGGUCAGAUGCUUUCUAGGUGGAAGCCCCCGAGCCCGACCCGAGGGAGGCGCCGGGUGCGCCUUCCAAUGCCGGAAGCGGGCAAGCACUGACAACAUUCACGGGGCUCGCGGCCCUGGCGUCAGUCUCCGGACCCUUCACCUUGGCAGUGCCAGAGGCCGGCAGGGAGUGCUUCUUCCUCGGGGGUGUGACCUCGCGAGGCACAUCGUCCCCGGCACCAUCGGAGAACUCCCACGCGGCGACCUUGUAGGCACGAUCAAUGUAGCAGACGAUGUCCUUUUCGUCGCAGGUGACGGUGAUGAUGCCGCUGCAACCCGGCAUCUUGAGGACGUUGUAGUCGUGGUGAUUCUCCACCAUGAACUUGGCCAGCGCUGGGUAGCCCAAGAUGGCAUUGUAUGGGAGGCCAAUGUACGCCACGUCAAAGUCAACGAGCUCGGUAUGAUAGUUGUCGUGUGUGUCGAAGGUGACCAGAAGGCGGAUCUGACCUAGCAGAGUGGUGGAGCCGUUGGUCGCCCCAGAGUACAGCUGGGUCAGCAUCAUCUGGUUGUAAGGCACUUGGACUGUGUCAAAGGUUUCGAUGGAAAGCAUGUUGAGGCCCCCGCCUCCGUCAAUCAGAGUCUUGGUGACCACAAUAUUGCUGAUGGUGGGAGUACACAUCAUGAGGAACAUGCCUCCGGCGGCCGUGGACUUGAGGUUGUCCAUGGUAUCAAAGGUGUCGGCGUACUGGGACCACUUGAGGGGCUUCGUGGCCCCCAGCCAUGGGAGGGCGGCAUUCACCACCCGAGAGAGUUGUUUGAACAGACGGUUUUACAAGGGGGCAUGAGCUCUGAUAAGAAUGCAAGCCACAACGCUAGGCUCUAGAUAGGCUCCGGCCUCCUCAUCAUGUUGGCUUUCAUCGUUCCUCCUCAGCGGCGGCGGCAGCAAAGGGAGCGCCACAUUGUCUCGAGGGCGUGCACCAAGAGGCUGACUAUGCCAGCCGUUCUCGCGAUGCCGCUCGUACCAGCCCCAGCGAGGAAUGCCAUUGCAACUGUCCCACUUGCCGUCGUUGCGGGUGCCGUCGCAACCAGCAUUACGGUUAGUGUGUUCCGGACGUCGGCAGCACGCUCAUAUUGGAGGACCUUGAGUUCUUGGCAGUCUUCGGUGUUGUGGGUGUAUACGUCAUGGUAGAUGCAUAACGGACGGCAAUCCUUUUCGGGCACGCCUCGUUCGCGGCCAUGCUUCUUCUUGGGCUCAGCACCAAGCACAUCGGGUCCUUUGUGCUUGACCGCCUUGGCCUGGCCCUUGGCGUCGUCGGGCAAUUUUUCAGGGUUGUCCUGGGCGAACACGUGACCGUCCUCCGCCUUGGCGCAUUUGUCGGCGAGGUUGAAUAAAUCCAUGGCCAUGCUCAGGUUGUCGUUGCUGGAGAGCUUCUAGCACAUCUUGAGAUCCUUGACGCUGUUGGUGAAUGCCAUGAUGACAUCCUCCUUACGCACAUGCGUGAACCGCUGGAUCUUGUUAGGCACAUGCCUGAANNNNNNNNNNNNNNNNNNNNNNNNNNNNNNNNNNNNNNACCGCUGGAUCUACUUGCGGAGAGUCUCCCCAGGGCGUUGUUUCACGCGGCUCAACUCAUUGACGGAGAGGGGACGGUCGUGCGUGUCCUUGAAGUUGGCAAAGAACAGCUGACAGAGGUCACUCCAUCAAGAUACCGACUUCUCGGACAGGUUUAGGAGAUAGGACCACAUGUCAUCCUUGAGGACCAUCAGAAGCUAGUUCAACAUGAUCCGGGGUAGAGUUGGAGGAGCUCGCGGGGUCGAGGGAUUUAUCAUAGCACGGGGGCAGCUCUGACUUGAACUUGGCCGGUAAAACCACCUUGCGCAACUCGCGAUUGAAGGCCUGGCAACCCACGGUGCUUUAGGGGCCACCACGCGCGAGGAUGGCUCUGUUCCGGCGCUCGGCUGCCGCGACAUCCUAGACGACUUGGUCCUAGUGCUGACGCUGAUGCUCGAGGACCGCACGCGCAUCGGACGGAGCCUCAUGGCGGAUGAUCUCGCAUCUACAUUCUUCUUCUUGGACAUGUGGGGUGGUUCGUGAGGUGGGUUGCUCGAGCGCGCGUCGUGUCGGGGCUCAGCCUGGUCGCCGUGCACAGGAGAAGGCGGCAGUCCUCCCUGAGCCACCUCAGGGAUGGAGGGGGCGAUGUAAGGGGGAGGGCGUCGAGUCCUUUCCGAUGACGGUAACAAUCUCAGUGAUACGGCCUAGCCAUGCAUCAUAGCCGGCAUCCACCGGGAAGUAUCGAAGCAGCUCGCACGCCAUGAGCAGCACCACUUGCUCAUUCACCCAUUCGAGAUGGGCAUGGGAGGUGGAAGCCGUGGCGGUGCGGCCCUCCCAUUGCAUGGAGGGGUGCAUGGAGGAAGCUUGUUGCUCGGGGGUGGUGGUGUCAGUAGCGGCGGCCUCGGCACCGUGGAGUGAUGAUCAGCGCCACGGCCCAAUGGUGCGGUCAUGACAACCCGGGCUGCCCUGCGCUCAGCACACACACUAUGAGCGUCUGUCAUGGGGUGGGCGAAGCUUGAGCUAAAACUGGAGCUGAAGAACAGCUCCGCACACCUACCUUGCGCGCCAAAUGUCAUAAUUCGGGCUCCGUAGACCCAAAGAGGUUCGAACACUGAGGUGGGCUCGCUCUCCUACCGUAUUCUGCCUCUCAACCUCACGACGACUCUCCGGUGGCUCGAGCUAUGGGAUAUGAACAAGAACACUUGCAUAGUUUACCCAUGUUCAGGCCACGUUGCGGUGUAAAACCCUACUCCUCCUUGUCUGGAUUGCUUCAGGUGGAAGACAAGUAAAAAGGGAGGGGGUUCUUGCCAUAAUAGAGUUGGUGGAUCCCCUUGCUAUGGAGGCAGGAUGUCCCUCUUAUACAUGACUUGGUCCUCUUCCGCCCAAAACACACACUUGGCGCGAAGGGUUGCCACGACAACCAUUUUGAAAGGGGACAAGACUACAUCGUACCCUGACAAAGGCGGUCUUCCCUUACUAAAGCUCUUCACCAUGACACGCUGGUGGGCUCGAGGGUGACCUCCAUCCCGCUGAGCCCCCGGUCUUGGUCCUCUUGCACCAAGUAGGAACCCUUUAGGUGUUUCUUUGGUAACCCACGGGUUGGCUCUGCUCCCUUAACACCAAAGGGGAAAGCCUAUCUGUCUGUGCUUGCUGGUACCGACCCUGGCGCAGUCCUGCGUGGCUUACAUUACCCGCGUGAGGAGGCAGGACCGUGCGAUCCCGACAUGUCAUCCUUGGUUAGUCCACUCCAUGCGAGCCCCAGGGGGCGGCGUCACGAGGCGAAUUCACGACAUGGAACUCGGGGGGAAUGGCCUCAAGAGGAACUCUAGCGGUCCCUGACAACCUUCGAUGAUUCGUACCUCGCGAGGAGGGCGCCUCACUAGGGUCAAAUUCCUGGGCCUUGGCGGAAAUCACUUCCGGGCACACAACUCCUGCCAUGCACUGGGCCGCAAACAGACGGGCCUGGGUACCCCCAGUCCCAAGACCCCGACAGGCACGACGGGGUGAAGCAUGCGGUGCUAGCACUACGAGGGAUGCGAAAGGAGUAGGGCGACUACGUGGCAACCUCGAUCAAAUCUGCACACGCACUAGAGGGCACUAACAUGGAGGAGGGGGCACACACGCAUCUUUGGCAAACAAAUUCAGAGGACCAUGCAGAGCAAACGGAGCGUGUCGAUGACACGACACAUACGACGCCUAUGAGGAGUUAGCAAUAGCUAAAAGGGCAGGGACGGAGGCUCUGCUCACCUAGUCUCAUUUUGGACACGAAGACGAGGCUGGGGAUGGCACAACUCAAUGGUAGCGACGUGAGGAUCUCUGGCACAGUUCAUGUCCUGAACUGCAACUGACUAAGGGGAAGAAGGGGAGUAACGAAGGAAGGCCUUGAGCUUGCCCUUGACGCCAAAAUGGGCCCGGAAUGAAGACACAAGCUCGGGGGCGAGAUUGACGACGCCUACGGGCACCUGACGCCGGCGACGAGCUACUACCGGAUCCCGUCAUGGAUCUGGUGAGGGCUAGCAGGAUCAAGGCAAGGUGAUGAGAGGAGGCGGCGACACGGGGAGGGAGAGGGGAAGUGGGGAAAACCCUUGGGCGAGGGUGUGGCUUUAUAGGAGGGCCUCAACGCUGGCUUGGCCACGGUGGCAAUGUGCAGGGCCGAUGCUCCUUUUACAAAAAGAGAGGACACAGGGAGGAAGUAAAGCCGGGACUGGCGAGUCACUAUAGUUGGGGCCGCACAUGGCAUCCACGCUGGCUUACCUCGAGGAGUGGUUUUUGGGCUAGGCUGCGACUCGCUACCUGCGCUUGUUGGCCGCUCGGUGCUGCUGACUAGCUGGCUAGCUAGCUAGUUGGCUGCUAUUGUAUUCCUUUUAAAUAAAAGUAAGGCAUUGUUUUUUUUAAAUGAAAUGGCCAGGAAAAGGAUGGUCUAAAAAAUAAGAAAUAGCAUUUUCUUAACUCACAAAAUAUGUCCUAUUUUUAUAGAACACAUAGGGUAUUUUAGAACCACAAUUUAAAUGGCACUUAACUUAAGAAGGCAAGUUGUUGGUUGUUUUUUACAAAAUGGUACAGUGGCACAAGGUCAAUCUUAGUUUUUAAAACCCAUUCAUUACAUUUACAAUUGUAGCAAUAUUUUUGAAGAAGGUGAUGGCAAGGUAGAAAAUCAACACAUUGCAUAAUUUUGAAUAAAAGAGGGAGGAAGUUAUUUUCCAAAGAAUUUGUAGGAAGGUUUUUUUGACUCAUGAGAAUACUAGUUGUUGCCAGAACAUCAUCACAACAUCAACUCCACUCCAACACAACACAAGCAAGAAGGAGAAAUAAAAUAAAACAAUUUCCAUGAUGAUAAUGAUGUUAUGAUGCAAGUGAAAGACAUGAAUCACCAAACCUUAUUAAGUGAAAGCAAAGUUGUCAUGGCAUAGAGGGUUCAUCAUGCAAAUGUUACAUGGAUGCACUUGGGUUGUUACAACUCUCCCAAACAACAAGAGGAUCUCGCCUCGAGAUUUAGGAUUGAAAGAACUUAUGAUAUUCGAAACGGAGGAGGUCCUCAUGUUCCCAAGUGGCUUCUUUAUCUGGAUGGUGUGACCCCUUAACUUUGAGGAAUUUGCCAGACUUGUUGCGAGUCUUGCGCAAGGUGUCUUCAAAAAUAGCAACUGGAUGCUCAUGAUAAGAAAGGUCUACUUGGAGAUCAAUGUUUUGGUGCGCUCGGGAGUCUUGAAAGAGUUCCGGAGCUGAGAUACAUGAAAGACAUCAUGCAUAUUGGAUAAAUUUGAAGGGAGCUCGAGUUGAUAGGAAAGGUCUCCUCUUUUCCCAUUAAUCUAGAAAGGAUCCACACAACAUGGUGCAAACUUCCCUUUCAUGCCAAAUCGCUGAGUACCAUUCAUAGGUGAUACCCGAAGAUAAACAAAGUCCUCGAUCUAGAAUGCUAAGUCAUGAUGCCUAUUAUCAUAGUAACUCUUCUCACGGGAUUGAGCGGCUUUGAGAUGAUCUCGAAUGGCACGACACAUUUAUUCUACUUUUAAGAUCAUGUCAUUCCCAAGAAUUUCACACUCACCGGCUUCAGACCAAUUGAGCAGGGUACGACACUUCCUACGAUAGAGUAUCUCGAAUUGGGCCUUGCUAGAGCUUGAUUAGAAACUAUUGUUGCACGAUAAUUCAGCAAACGGGAGCCAGUCUUCCCACUUCAUGUCGAAAGAGAUAACACAAGCUCUGAGCAUGUCUUUAAGAAUUUGAUUGACUCUCACCACUUGACAACUUGUCUCAGGAUGGAAGGGUGUACAUAAAUGAACCUUAGUGCCCAUUGCAGAUUGGAAUGAAUCCGGGAACUUGGAAGUGAAAAUGCUUCCUUGGUUUGAAGAAAUAACCUUAGGAACACCAUGCAAAUAAACUAUCCUUGAAGUGUACAACUAUGCGAAAUGAGCUGCUGAAAUAUAUUCUUUGACUAGAAGGAAGUGGGCAACUUUAGACAGCUUGUCGAUGACCACAAAGAUGUCAUCGUUUCCUCUAAUGGACUUAGGAAACCCAGUGACAAAAUCCAUACCAACAUGAUCAAAUUUCCACUCGGGUAUAAGCAGAGGAUGAAGAAGACCUGCUGGACGUUGAUGUUCUGCUUUCACUCUGCGACGUACCUCGCACUCGUUCACAAACUGAGCAAUCUCAUGUUUCAUGUGAGUCCACGAGAAGGUUUGCUUAAGAUCAUGAUAGAUCUUAUAACUCUCUGGAUGUAUAGAGAGGAGAGAAUUGUGAGCUUCGUCCAUGAUAACUUUUCUGAGCAGUCCUUCUGGAACCACAUGACGAUCCUCGAAGAACAAAGUUCCUUUGUCAUCCACGCGGAAGUACUUAUACAUUGGAAUGCUUUGUGCCAAGCCUAUCUUCACUUUCUUCACCAUAGCAUCAAGAAGUUGAGCUUGGCGGACUUGGUCUUCAAAGGUAGGAGAAAUCCGAAGGAUGUCAAGAAAUCCUUGAGGAACUACUUGAAGGUUGAGCUUCUUGAAAGACUCACAAUGAUCAGGAUGGAAUGGAUUGAGAAUGAGAUUGUUGCAGCAAGCCUUUCUACUCAAAGCAUAUGCAAUCACAUUUGCUUUUCUUGGAGUAUAGUCAAUGCUUGGAUUGUAAUUUGUGAUGACUUCACGCAACGUGUGUGCUGAAGAUUGAGAUUAGGUUGAGUAAAUGUAUAUAUAUUUCAAACUCUUGUGUUUGGUGUAGACUUCAACUUUCCUUCCCAACAAGAGGUGUAUUCAAUUAACGAAAGAAUGGAAAAGUACUAUCAACUCAAGAUUGUGAGUGGGGUAGUUUUUCUCAGUUGGCUUCAACUCACAAGAGGAAUAAGAUUCCACUUUCUUGUCUUGCAUAAGAACACCACCAAGACCUUGCAAAGAUGCAUCACAAAAAAAUUGGAAUGGCUUGGAAUCAUCAGGAGGAGUUAGAACCGGAGAUGAGGUGAGCCUGUCCUUGAGUGUAAUGAUAGCCGUAUCAUACCCGGGAGUCCACACAUAUUUCACACUCUCCAGAAGAAGGUUGGAUAGAGGCUCAUAAAUCUUGUAUAAGUUCUCCUUCAAUCUUCUAUAAUAGCUUGCAAGCCCGAGAAAUCUUCUUAGCUGCUUGACAUUCCGAGGAGGAUCGCACGUGACAAUGGCUUGAACCUUUUUACUAAGAGAGAGAGGGCACAGGGAGGAAGAAAAGCAGGGUGGAGAGUCACUACAGUUGGGGCCGCACAUGGCAUCCUUGAUGGCUUAACUCGAGGAUUGGGCGCUGCACUGGGCUACGACUCGCUAUGCGCCCUUGUUGGCCGUUGGCUGGGCCGCUCGCUCGUGUUGGCUGGCUGGCUAGCUAGCUAGUUGGUUGUUGUUGUAUUCCUUUUAAAUAAAAGUAAGGCAUUGUAUUUUAUAAAUGAAAUGGCAAGGAAAAUGAUGGUCUAAAAAAUAAGAAAUAGCAUUUACAUAACUCACAAAAUAUGUCAUGUUUUUAUAAAACACAAAGGGCAUUUUAGAACCACAAUCUAGAUGGCACUUAACUUAAGCUAGCAAGCUAUUGUUUUUUUACAAAAUGGUACAGUGGCACAAGGUAAAUCGUAGUUUUUAAAACCCAUUCAUAACAUUUACAAUUGUGGCUAUACUUUUGAAGAAGGUGAUGGCAAGGUAGAAAAUCAACACAUUGCAAAAUUUGAAUAAAAGGGGGAGGAAGUUAUUUUCCAAAGAAUUUGUAGGAAGGUUUUUUUUGACUCAUGAGCAUACUAGUUGUUGCAGGCACAUCAUCACAACAUCAAAUCCACUCCAACAAAACACAAGCAACAAGGAGAAAUAAAAUAAAACUAAUUCCAUGAUGAUAUGAUGAUAUCAUGCAAGUGAUAGACAUGAAUCACCAAACUUUAUUAAGUGAAAGCAAGGUUGUUAUGGCAUAGAAGGUUCAUCAUGCAAAUGUUACACGGAUGGACUUGGGCUGCUACAACUGUCCCACACUACAAGAGGAUCUCGCCUCGAGAUCUAGGAUUGAAAGAACUUAGGAUAUUCAAAACGGAGGAGGUCCUCACGUUCCCAAGUGGCUUAUUUAUCGGAAUGGUGUGACCGCUUAACUUUGAGGAAUUUGACAGACUUGUUCUGAGUCUUGCGCUCGGUGUCUUCAAAAAUAGCAAUUGGAUGCUCAUGAUAAGAAAGGUCUGCUUGGAGAUCAAUGUUUUCAAAAUCAAUGGUGUGCUUGGGAGUCUUGAAAGAGUUCCGGAGCUGAGAUGCAUGAAAGACAUCAUGCAUAUUGGAGAAAUUUGAAGGGAGCUCGAUUUUAUAGGAAAGUUCUCCUCUUUUGCCAUUAAUCUUGAAAGGAUCCAAAAAAAACAUGGUGCAAGCUUCCCUUUGAUGCCAAAUCGCCGAGUACCAUUCAUAGGUGAUACCCGAAGAUAAACAAAGUCCACGAUCUGGAAUGCCAAGUCAUGAUGCCUAUUAUAAUAGUAACUCUUCUCACGGGAUUGAGCGACUUUGAGAUUAUCUCGAAUAACACGGCACAUUUAUUCUGCUUUUGUGAUCAUGUCAUUCCCAAGAAUUUGACACUCACCGGUUUCACACGAGUUGAGUGGGGUACGACACUUCCUGCCAUAGGGAAUCUCGAAUAUGGCCUUGCGAGAGCUUCAUUAGAAACUAUUGUUGCAGGGGAAUUCAAUAAUUGGGAGGCAGUCUUCCCACUUGAUGUCGAAAGAGAAAACACUAGCUCUGAGCAUGUCUUUAAGAAUUUGAUUGACUCUCUCCACUUGACCACUUGUCUAAGGAUGGAAGGUUGUACAAAAAUGAACCUUAGUGCCCAUUGCAGAUUGGAAGGAAUCCGAGAACUUGGAGGUGAAGAUGCUUCCUCGGUUUGAAGAAAUAACCUUAGGAACACCAUGCAAAGAAACUAUCCUUGAAGUGUACAACUAUGCCAGUUGAGCUGCUGAAAUAGAUUCUUUGACUAGAAGGAAGUGGGCAACUUUAGACAGCUUGUCCAUGACCACAAAGAUGGCAUCGUUUCUUCUAUUGGACUUAGGAAACCUAGUGACAAAAUCCAUCCGAACAUGAUCAAAUUUCCACUCGGGUAUAGGCAGAGGAUGAAGAAGACCCACUGUACGUUGAUGUUCUGCUUUCACUCUGCGACGUACCUCACACUCGUUCACAAACUGAUCAAACUCAUGUUUCAUGUGAGUCCACAAGAAGGUUUGCUUAAUAUCAUGAUAGAUCUUAUAACUGUCUGGAUGUAUCGAGAGGAGAUAAUUGUGAGCUUCAUCCAGGAUAACUUUUCUGGGCAAUCCUUUUGGAACCACAAGACGAUCCUCGAAGAACAAGGUGCCUUUGUCAUCCACACGGAAGCACUUUUACUUUAGAAUGCUCUGUGCCAAGCCUAUCUUCACUUUCUUCACCAUAGCAUCAAGAAGUUGAGCUUGGUGGACUUGGUAUUCCAAGGUAGGAGAAAUCUGAAGUUUGUCAAGAAAUCCUUGAGGAACUACUUGAAGGUUGAGCUUAUUGAAAGACUCACAGAGAUCAUGAUGGAAUGGAUUGAGAAUGAGAUUGUUGUAGUAAGCCUUUCUACUCAAAGCAUAUGCAAUCACAUUUGCUUUGCGUGGAGUAUAGUAAAUGCUUGGAUUGUAAUUUUCGAUGACUUCACCCAAUGUGUCUGCUGAAGAUUGAGAUUUGGUUGAGUAAAUAUAUCUAUUUCAAACUCUUGUGGUUGUUGUAGACUUCAACUUGCCUUCCCAACAAGAGGUGUCUCCAAGUAACCAAAGAAUGUACAAGUAUUGCCAACUCAAGAUUGUGAGUGGGGUAGUUUUUCUCACUUGGCUUCAACUGACAAGAUGUAUAAGCUUCCACUUUGUUGUCAUGCAUAAGAACACCACCUAGACCUUCUAAAGAUGCAUCACAGAAAAAAUUGGAAUGGCUUGGAAUCAUUAGGAGGAGUUAGAACCGGAGAAGAGGUGAGCUUGUCCUUGAGUGUAAUGAUAGAAAAAUCAUACCCAAGAGUCCACACAUAUUUCACGCUCCUCAGAAGAAGGUUGGACAGAGGCUUAUCAAUCUUGUAUAACUUCUCCUUGAAUCUUCUAUAAUAGCUUGCAAGCCCGAGAAAGCUUCUUAGCAGCUUGACAUUCAGAGGAGGCUCGCACGUGACAAUGGCUUGAACCUUUUUAGGAUCGACCUUAAUGCCCUCGGCUGAGAUGAUACACUACAGUGGACCAAUUCAUUGAGCCAAAACUCACAUUUAGAGAACUUUGCAUAAAGCCAAUGAUUUCUUAGCUUCUCAAGCACAAGCCAGAUAUGUUCCGCAUGUUCUUCCUCGGUAUCGGAGAAGACUAGAAUGUCAUCAAGAUACACCAAGACGAACUCAUUCUUGACUGAAGAGAAUACAAAGUUCAUCUUGAAAGAGCAUGUCGGAGGAGCAUUUCCGAGACCAAAAGACAUCACCGUGUACGCAUAAGAGACAAAGCUUGUCUAAAAAGAUGUCUUGGGAAUAUAUUUUUCAUGAAUAUGCAUUUGAUGAUAGCCCAUAUGUCAUGGUUUUGUCAUGGCCGAUGUCCUUGUGAAAGGACUUAAUAAAGGAGCCAUCGCACCUUGGUGGUGACUCAAAGGGGGUGAGUGAAAGCAAGACUCAGAUUUACCCAGGGUCUUCCCCUCGUGUAGAGGUAAAAGCCUACGUCCUGCUUUGUGUAGAUUGAUGAUGGUUUCGAUUACAAGGAGGGCGUAACUCGCCUGACCUAGCUCUCGAUGAUUUCUAACCUGCCCUAUCUUCCCCAGGGACUCGCCUUUAUAUACUGGUCGAGGCCCUAGGAUUUGCAAGAGUCCUAGACAUGCUACAGAUCGUGGUCUUCCUUAUCUCUAAGUCUCCGUGCUUUCCAACACUGAAACCUCCUUGGCGGUCUAUCCUCUGUAUAGCUCCUGAACCGCCAUCCGGCUCCUGGGCCCCUUGGGCCAAGGCUUGUAUUACCAAAGGAUGAGUCGCCCCUUUAGUGACCCGGCCCAGCUAGGGCGGGUUACACCACAGGUAAUAUUCCCAACAUUAGGCCCCAGAUUGUCUUGAAUUUAUUCACGCCAAUAAACAUCCACUCAUUUUGGGGCGACUUGUAUUACUCCUAUCUUUUGACGAUCGAUAAGCCGCCAUCCAUCAUGCAUUGGUUGAGCUGCCAAGCAGUUUUCAAUGACAUCACCUUAUCCCUCCAAUUUCGGGACUUAAUGAUGCAAUCACCCAACGGAUCUUUCACAUCGCCAUUUAUUUAUCCCAAAAAUCCAGGCGCCAUAAUUGCAAAUUUCCAGUUUGUCUCCUCUAUUCCCGCGGCUACCGCCUCGAUUCCAGCACCUGGCCUUUAAAUAACCGCAGGGGAGUGGGGGCACCGUCACGUACCCCCACUUCGACUUCCUCAUCGACCUCCGUCUUCCUCGCGCCAGCGCCCAUGUCUCUCUGCCGUUCCCGAAGCUUCGCUGCCAGCCAUCACGGUCCAGACGUCUCGAGGCCAACCGAAGGCGCAGGAUCCACCGCAAACCUUCCGCAUCCUCCGCCGAGGGCCGCCCUUCUUUCUUAGGUAAGCAUUCUUCCCCCCAUUAGGGUUAGAUCUUGCUGCCAUGUCUAGUAUAGGUUAACUUCGGAAUGUAGUGAUAAUCCCUUUUCUAUCUUAGAUCAAUCAGCCAUACUCCCGAUAGAUCCUCCGUAGUAUUGAAGCACGGUAGCAUCACGGUCUCUGCUGGCCAUUUUGAUGUUUUCUCUUCAUAGAUUCAUACAGUACUCCUUUCGCGUUCUUGCGUUUGUAGUCUUCGCAGCUUCGUUUAAGCAUUAUCUCCUUAAUUUGAUCCACCCGUAGAUCCGUAUUUCAUUGAUUUCUUUUAGAAACUUGUUUAUCCCACUCCGGGAAUAUCCCUAAGGAAAGAAUCCUUUUUAAAAUCGCCACUCGCCAUCCUCCACCACAACGAGUUAGAACAUUGCCAAAGCUACGCCUUUGAUUGCCGAAGGGCGAAUCAUAACGCCUUUGUAGACAUACCAUAAGUCGCUCAACUGGCGAGUUAGGAUAUCCUCAUAUUCAGGUCUUUUAGUCACCUGAUGGCGAGUCAUAAGGCCCUUAUAGACAUAUUGUAGAUCUCCAACUGGUGAGUUACCAGGUUUUAUGGUCCUUAAUGAGCUGCCUUGUUCCUUCUUUUUUGUAGUCAUGGUUAGCAUCUCAAAAUGCGAUUGGCUGCAAACCAAGAUUAAUGACGCCUUUGUUGAGAAAGUUGUCAAGUCGGGUCAUCUUGAUAGUAAGGAAGUCAUUGGUUGGCGGACCGCCCAGACGAGGUGAUUCCCAAUCCUACCGAGGGAGAAGUAGUUAUUUUCAUUGAUCAUCUUGAACGAGGCUUCAAACCGGCCAGAUCAAAGUUCUUUAGAGAUGCUCUGCAUUUCCUCAAUGUUCACCCUCAGGAUUUGGGACCCAAUUCCAUAUGUAAUAUCUGUCAGUUCCAUGUUUUUUGCGAGGCAUACGUGCAGAUAGAGGCCACAGUUCCAUUAUUUUGGUACUUUUUCCAUUUGAACCGCCAUACCGAAUUUUCCAACAGCCCAACUUGGAACUUGGGGGGUCAACAUCCAGCAACGCCGCGAACACGGGUUUCUGUCUGUCCUCCUGCCCAGCCAUCCCAAAGGCUGGGCCAAGUCUUGGUUUUAUUGUCGUGACACUUCUCCUCCCGGUGAGAACCCACUUUCGGGUUAUAGAGAAGAUAGCUUACCCAUGGACUUCAAGCUGCUAGAGAAGCUUACGGAAGAAGAAGAAUCAGAAUUCAUCCCCAUCUUCUCCGAGCUGCGGUCUUUGACCAAUAAUGGGCUUAUCGGGGUUAACCUAAUCCGUUGCUGGGUGGAGUGGAAUAUUCUUCCUCUGAGUCGCUGGAACGGUCUGAUGUGCGAAUACGAUGGCAGCGUGAACCAUCCGCAAUGCUUUCAUCAUAAAAGAUUCGCCGAGAAAGGCAUUGUUGACAUAAUCAAGAAGUUAACCGGCGAGUCCUUGGAAAACUGUGCCAAGGUUGGGCUCAAGCCUUUCUACCUCACCAAUCCGGCUCCACCGGUAACAAUCCGGCGCUAGUGUUCUAGGUUUGAAUUUUGAUUCUAUCCACCAGAAAGGUGAUCCAUUUUGGUCUCGAAGGCCAAAGGUGACCGCCCAGAAAACAACUAAGCCACCACCGAAGAAGAAGAAAAAGAAGACGAGCAAAGGCAAAGCCGCCAUCAAGGAUUCAUCCGUCGUGCGCGAGUCCCAAGCCGGCGAAGAACAGUUGGAGGUAAAAUUUGACCCUUUUGUUUAUCAUCAUUAUGCUCCAACUUAUACUUAUAGCAUGUUACCUUUAUGCAUAGGACGAUGACUAUGAGAGCCUAGAUGACGUGGUUGAGGUAAUUUCUAUUUCUUCCGACUCAACGUCUUCUUCACCUAGGCCGGCCAGGCAGAUUUGUGGAAAAGUUCCCAUGUCUCACCCAAAUGCUUGUCUGGACCCUGAUUUCCUUUUGAAGAAGGCGAAGUAUACUCCCAAACGUAAAACCCAGAGCCGCUCUGGCGACUUAGUUUCCGGGUUACCUGAAAAGACAACCAGUCGGAAGCGCACAAGUGAGGCAUACUCCUGUUAAACACACUCUCCUCCUUGUAGAAAAUGUGAUUCACAACUCAUUCACUCCUUGAACUUUUAUUCUUUCAGGUUUCUCCUCCUUCAUCUAGCGUCUCAGUGAUGUCAGCUCUUCUGCCAAUAUUUCGUGUACAAGGGCAAGUUGUUUUAUUAACCUUUUCCCUUCCCAAUAAUGAUAUUUAUUCUAACUUUGAUGUCCUUAUCUCAUAGCACAAGCAAAGAAGAGAAAAACUGGUGACUUGUCUUCUGCUCCUAGGACGGCUGAGAUGUUAGGCGUGAGCACCUCUGCUCUAGAGCUUGAUGAGGAGCAAGCGUUAGCUCAUGAUGAUCUUGCGGAUUACAUUCCUAACGUCCAGAACGACUCUCCAGGCUCUUUAAACGAAACUACUGACAACGUUAACCCACCGAGUUCUUCCAAAGCGACUAAAGAUCCAGAUACCGUAAUUAUCAUUGGUACUGCUUACUCCAAACCUGCAGCGGCGGUCUUAUCCAAACACACAUCAUAAGAAUCCCAUCCAUCUGCAGAACAAGAUGUCACUAAGCUGAAGCUUCCCCAUUAUGUGAAGCUCGAAUUUGACCAACUCUGCUCUGGCUUCGUAAGUCGGCUGAAGACGAGUUAUGAAAUGGAUAAGAGCUUUAUCCACAUGAUGAAAAUCAAACAUGAGGUACGCCCUUUAUUAUGUGUUCUUCCACCCAUUAGCCUUCCAGGAAACUAGUGUUGCUUGAUGAAAUAAUAUUUGUUGCAAUCUCUGGUAGACCCAUAUCUUUCCAUAGCCCCCAAGGGUCGGCUCAUCUUUUGAAAGAUUAGCCGGGUCUUAAAUUGAUAGAAAAACUUCAAACUGUAACCCCCAAGGGCCGGGUCAUCUUUUGAAAGAUGAGUCGGGUCUUGUAUUAGAUAAAAACUUCAAACUGUAGCCCCAAGGGCCGACUCAUCUUUUGAAAGAGUAACCGGGUCUUGUAUUAGAUAGAAAAACUUGAACAUGUAGCCCCCAAGGGCCGGGUCAUCUUUUGAAAGAUGAGUCGGGUCUUGUAUUAGAUAAAACAUCAACCUGUAGCCCCCAAGGGUCGGGUCAUCUUUUGAAAGAUGAGUCGGGUCUUGCAUUAGAUAAAAACUUCAACCAGUAGCCCCCAAGGGUCGGGUCAUCUUUUGAAAGAUGAGAUGGGUCUUGUAUUUUGUAUGACUUCGAAUUGAAUCAUACAUUAGCCCCGAAGUGUCAGGGAUGUUUCUUGCAACAGUUCUGAAACUUGUCUCCCCACAAUUUUUUUGCAGGAAUUUGUGACUCGGGAUGAGUCAUCUCUUGCUGACUUCAAGAAAACAUAGGUGAACAGCAGGAUGCUCGGACUGCGUCUGAAGAAAAAUAUCAGUUGGCUCUGACUAACAUGGAGAAGAUGAAAGCCGACCAUAACAUAUUUGAGAAGAAAGCCAAUGCUGAUGAAGCCGUCCUCCUCAAGCGGGCAGAAAAACCCGAGGCAAAGUUAGAAGACACCCUACACNNNNNNNNNNNNNNNNNNNNNNNNNNNNNNNNNNNNNNNNNNCUACACGAGCUCUCCGGGCUAAAAAAGCAUGUCUCCAACAUGACCCAAGCCAUCUAUGGUAAGAAGAAAUUCCCUCGUUCAAAAAGAGAAGUCGUAAUUUUAGUUUCCAAAUCUUGAUUGUCAUUGUUUUAUCCUUUGUAGGUCCACGAGCCGCCAAUCUCCAAGACGACUGCAUACUAAAGCUUAAAGCGAUUUACACCUUUACAGAGCAGCUGUAUACAGGGAGCAUGCUGACGAUGAAGGGAGUAAUGGGCAACAAGGAACAAAUCAAGUCCAUCAAGAAUAUGCUGGGCUGCUUGUCAAUGUUGCCACCACAAGUAGAAGAGCUAAAGAGGUCAGCCGCCCGCGAGGGAGCUCUGACCACCCUAAGCUGGUGCCUGGCGUACACCCCUGAACUCAAGCCAGAGGAAGAAGCUGUUGGUUACCCUAAGCUGAAGGACGAUGAGUUGGAGUUUACUGAAGAUGAUUACCACCGGAUUGUGCAAGAGUCCCGUGCUGCGAUGACUCAACCGGCGGCCAGUUUGGACUUGAACAAAUACCAGGCUGCGUAUGACAACAACAACAAAAAGGUGACUCCUCCUUCAUUUGGAAUUACCAGCCUCACUCCUCGCCGGCCCAAGAAUCCCUUCGACUUUGAAGCUGAAUUUUCUAUCUUUUUGAACGACGAAGAUGAAUUCGUCGCCUUGUCCAAGUGCAACUGGAAACUCGGCGACUUACAAAUUAAAGAUGGAGAGAGCUCAAGGAAAGGCGACCCGAAGGCGGCUUAAGUCUAACUAGGGUGUAGUCAUUGCUGGAAAAAAUUGAUCUUUCCUUGACCAGGAGAUGAUACCCGGUAUGGUCGUGUGAGCCAUGUAAUAUCUGUUAGGCAAACAAUCGUUUAUCUAUGCCUUUUGCUUGACAUUGCUGAAUAGUUUACCUUUUAGCCGAACCAUGAGUCGUCUUUACCAAUCUUGAUGCUUGAUUGUUUAGGAAGUGUCAUAUGUUGACAACAUAAAGCUUCUUCAACUUGUUUAUCAGGGAGAAAACGCCAUAGGUCGACUCAAUAAGUCAUGGCGAGUUAUAAACAAGGAGCCGACUCAGUGAGUCGCGGCAAGUCAUAUAAAGUUUUACAAAACCUUGCGACGGUGCCAUGAACAUAGUCGUAAAAAUUUGUCGGCUCGAUGAGCUACGACAGGAUAGGACGAGUUUGCAAAACUCUAGUGCUACCCGAAGAAGGCUUUUGCAAUAGCCCAAGUUUUUAGACCGGCUGAUCAGGCGCGAGUCAGGCUUUAGUGAAGCAGGUUUAGUGAACCAAUGGUUUCUCUAUUUUCCAUGUGUGGCUCUGGCCGGUACCUUUCAUGUUUUAAGCAAGGCGAGUUCAGGGUCCAAAAAGCGGAUUGACUCGCCAUGAGUACAUGGGUCCAUAUGGCAACUCGUCCGACACAUAGUCCAGUAUAAAUUUUUGCUAGCCAAGAGGGUAUUCAGGCUGAACUCAGUGAGUGGAAGCCCCCAAGUGACCUAUAAUUAGGGAAAAGUCGGACAUAGGAAUGCAUAAGCAUUUUACACUCUUACUGUAAAACGACUUGGGAACUAGUAGCCCCCAAGUAAGCUAGCUUAAUUCUCAAAACCAUAUAAGGCGCCCAUGUUUGAACCAUGCAACAUGGCAACUUUGGUCCUCUUUGGCUUAUCAGUAUCCAAUUUUGAAACUAGUGCAGCGUGGCGACUUAUGCUCUUUGGUACUGAUAGCGUCCAUGCUUGGACGACUCAUAGAACAAUAAAGACUCAUGCUUUCCAGAAGCUGAAAUGGCAAAGGACCCCAAAGUUUGUGGGUGCCAGCUUUAUUGCUUUAUAAAUAAAAGAUUACAAGUUUUGAGAUUUGCCGAAAAGAAAGGAGCCCAUUGCUCUAGGUGUAGUAAGGCCGCAGAUGGGCUAUAUUCCAGGGGCGAGUUGUCUCAACCUCUAUAGUUGGCCGAUCAGGGCAAAGAUCCACCAAGUAGUAUGAGCCGUUCCGAAGAUUCUUGCUGAUGGCAAACGGGCCUUCCCAUGGAGGUGAUAACUUAUGCAUACUAGUGUGGUCUUGAAUCAAUCGGAGCACUAAGUCGCCCUCUUGAAAAGUCCGGCUUUUGACACGGCGGUUGUGAUAGCAUCGCAAGUCCUGUUGAUAGAUCGCCGAUCGCGAUGCGGCCAUGUCUCGCUCUUCCUCCUAAGCAUCCAACGAAUCUUGUCGUGCCAACUCGUUGUUCUGUUCCACAUAGGCAGUGACUCGUGGUGAAUCGUGUCUGGUGUCACUUGGCAACACCACCUCUGCCCCGUAGACCAGAAAGAAAGCAGUAAAACCUGUGGAGCGGCUUGGGGUGAUCCUGAUGCUCCAUAAUACUAAGGGCAAAGCUUCCACCCAACAUCGUGGAGUACGCUCCAAAGGUACCGUAAGCCGGGGCUUGAUUCCACGCAUUAUUUCCUGAUUCGCCCUUUCUGCCUGUUCAUUUGACUGGGGAUGUGUGGCUGCUAUAACGUCAAUCCGGAUAUGCUCUCGACCGCAAAACUCUUGCAUCGUGCCCUUUGAUCGAUUAGUACCAUUGUUAGUAAUGAUACUAUGAGGGUAUCCAAACCGGAAGAUCAACUUUUUCAAGAAUUUGACAGCCGUAUCCGCAUCACAGCUACUAACAGGUUCUGCUUCAACCCACUUAGUGAACUUGUCAACCGCCACCUAUAGGUGAGUCUUUUUAUUGGACGACAUCUUGAAAGGACCAACCAUGUACAGCCCCCAGACUGCAAACGGCCAAGUGAUUGGAAUCAUCCGUAACUCCUGAGCCAGCAUGUGCAUCUGGCGCCCAAAUUUCUAGCAACCAUCGCAUCGGCGAACUAUCUCUUCCGCGUCUGCAGGAGCCGUCAACCAAUAAAACCCAUGCCUAAAGGCUUUGGAAACCAAGGAGCGUGACCAGGCAUGAUGACCACGGUGACCCGCAUGAAUUUCAUUGAGGCUCAUACAUCCUUCCUCGGAAGAGACACACCUUUGAAAUACACCUGAAGUGCUUCGCUUAUGCAACUCGUCGUUGUGUAUGACCAUGGAUUUGCACCGACGGACGAUUUGGCGAGCCAAUAACUCAUCCGCGGGUAACUCGCCUCGUGUGAGAUACGCCAUAUAGGGAAUCGCCCAAUCUGGGGUAGCACGAAGAGCCGUCACAAGUUGAGACUGAGGGUCCGACGCCGCCAAAUCUUCCUCUGAAGGUAGCCUCACCAAGGGGUUAUGUAACACAUGCAAAAAGACAUUGGGAGGAACCAGCUUACGCCGUGAACCGAGACGGGAAAGAGCAUCUGCUUGAUAACCAUGAAAAUGACCUGCCACGUCCGACACAGCUCGCCUGUAAGCCGCCAUCAAGGGAUCUCCAGAAUCCUAGGUGCCAGAAACCUGCUGCGCCACCAGAUCUGAGUCGCCCAAACAUCUAACUCGCGUGAGGUUCAUCUCUUUGGCGAGUCGCAACCCAUGGAGCAAGGAUUCAUACUCUGUUGCAUUGUUGGUACAUGGAAACAUGAGCCGGAGGACAUAGCAGAAUUUGUCACCCUGAGGCGAAGUUAACACCACACCAGCCCCCGAGCCUUCCAACUGCCUAGAUCCAUCGAAAUAGAUGGUCCAAUAUGUGUGAUCGGGCCUAUCUUCUGGAAUCUUUAACUCGGUCCAGUCAUUAAUGAAAUCCACCAGUGCUUGAGAGAUAAUGGCCGUACGGGGAGUAUAUCCCACGUGAUGAGGACCUAACUCGAUUGCCCACUUAGCAAUCCGUCCAGUUGCUUCUCGAUUUUGUAUAAUGUCACCAAGGGGGGCAGAACUGACCACCGUGAUGGGAUGCUCUUGGAAGUAGUGCUUCAGCUUUCGACUCGCCAUAAACACCCCAAAGAACAACUUCUGCCAGUGCGGGUAGCGUUGUUUGGAGAGGGUCAGGACUUCGCUGAUAAAAUAUACCGGUCGCUAAACCGGAUAUUCCUUCCCUUCUUCUUUCCGCUCGAUGACAACUGCCAUGCUCACCGACUUAGAAUUGGCCGCGAUGUACAAGAGCAUACGCUCCUUAUCCGUCAGAGCCGCCAACACUGGCGGCUUAGCCAGUUGUCGCUUCAAGGCUUCAAAGGCUUCAUUGGCUUCGUCCGUCCACACAAAACAAUCAGUUUUCUUGAGUAACUAAUAAAGAGGAAUGGCUUUCUCCCCCAGGCGACUUGUAAAGCGACUUAGAGCCGCGAUACGACCCGCCAUGCGUUGGACUUGGUUGAUAUUGGCCAGCUUUCCUAGCAAAGUGAUCGCUUCAAUUUUGUCCUGGUUAGCUUCAAUGCCGCGUUCCGACACACCAGAAAACCAUCCUGCAAGAACACUAAACACACACUUGGUGGGGUUAAGCCUCAUCUGGUAUACGCGCAAAUUGUCAAAUGUCUCCUUGAGAUCCUCCAAGAGAGACUCUUUCUUCUGUGAUCUGACUACGAUGUCGUCAACAUAAUCGUGGACAUUACAUCCGAUCUAGUUAUGCAAACAAUUUUGGAUGCAGCACUGAUAAGUCGCCCCGGCACUCUUGAGCCCGAACGGCAUAGACAUGUAACAGAAGGCUCCAAAGGUGUUUAUGAAUGGCUUUUCUCCUGGUCUGCCAUAGCCAUCUUGAUCUGGUGGUAUCCCGAAUAAGCAUCCAAGAAACACAAACACUCGCAACCCGAAGUUGAGUCAAUGAUUUGAUCAAUGCGGGGAAGGGCGAAGUGAUCCUUCAUACAAUCUCUGUUGAGGUCGGUGUAUUCGAUGCACAUGCGGAAAGUGUCGUUCUAUUUUAGCACCAGGACCGGGUUAGCCAACCAUUCAGGAUGGAAAACCUCGAUGAUCAACCCGGCGGCCAAAAGUCGAGCGACUUCCUCUCUAAUGACCUUACAUCGUUCCUCAUUGAACCUCUGAACGUACUGUCGAACUAGAUUUACUUUGGGGUCAGUAUUAAGAUGGUGCUUAGCGAAUUCCGUCGGUACACAUGGCAUGUCAGAAGGUUUCCACGCGAAGAGGUCCCGAUUCUCACGGAUGAAUUCGAUGAGCGCGCUUUCCUAUUUGGGAUCCACACCCGUCCCAAUAGUGAACUGCUUGGUUGAGUCGCCUGGCAUGAAGUCUAUAACCUUGGUAUCAUCCGUUGGUUUAAACUUGAGGGGCGGCUCAGAGUCGAUCGUUGGCCUCUUGAGCGGCGUCAUAUCCGUCGGGUCAACAUUGGCUUGGUGAAACUUGAGCUCCUUGGCCGUGCAAGCCGUCUCGGCAUAAGUUGCGUCUCCUUCUUCGCACUCUUGGGCUAUCUUUCUGUCUCCGCUGAUCGUAAUAGGCCCCUUAGGAGUAGGCAUCUAGAGCUUGAGAUAAACAUAACAUUGGUGAGCCAUGAAUCGAGGGUAAGCCGGCCUUCCAAACGAUGUGUGGUAAGGGCUCUUGAUUUUGACCACCUCAAACAUGAUUUUGACUCGCUCCUGUAAUUGGACUCUGUGCCAAAAGCCACGUUAAGUUUAAUCCGCCCAAUUGGAUACACCGACUUACCCGGUACAAUGCCGUGGAAAACCGUGGACGACGGCAUCAAGUCUUUGUCCAAGAGAUUCAUCCUUCGAAAGGUAUCGAAGUAUAUGAUGUCAAUGUUGCUGCCUCCAUCCAUAAGAACUUUGGAAAGGGUGUAUCCUCGGACUUGGGGAGCCAUGACAAAAGCCAAGUCGCCAGGGUUUUCAACUUGGGGCGAGUGAUCCUUCCUACUCCAGGUUUAGAGCAAUGAAGGUACCUGGGGAGCGCUGGCUCAGCCACGCUGAAAGUUCUAUGUUUCACCUUCGGGUCCCGUUUGCAGGUGCUGGUGGUGAACACAUGAUACUGCCCACUGUUCAUCUGCUUAGGGUUAUUCUGAAAACCGCUAUGAUCAUCCUGUCGCUGGAGAUCUCCUCGCGGGGGUGGUUGCUGAAACACUCCUGGCGGGUUAUACUGAUGUUGGUUGUGAACUUGGUAUUGUCCACUAUUAGGCUGUGAACCGCCCUGCAGACCUGGGUUAGAGAAACCGCCGAACGGGCUUUGGCGUGACCUGGGUGCGCCGAACUGCUGUUGUCGCUGGCCCUGAUCACCUCCUUGCCCUUUCUUGAGCGCCUCAGCUCGGAUCUCCUGCAUCACAUAGCAAUCCUCCUAGGAGUGUGUCGCCGACCCCUCAACCGUAGCAUGCUGUGGGCAGGGGCCCUUGAGCAUCUCAUGAUAGUUGUGGGGCUUCUUCCCACUGAAACCCUGAUUCUUCUGGCGCUGGUUUCCGUUGCCGGCAUUGGUAUUGGCAACUCCGUGGGACCUUCCUGUUGUCUUCUUUUACCUUGUCCGCCAUGGUUGUGGUUACCCCGUCCUUGAAAGUGGGAGUGACCUUUUGAUGUCUCGCCUCUCCUGGCGGUGCUAACCUUGUCAUCGUCCUCCCUAGGACCCUUGGUGUCAUCUAACACGGCGUAUCUGGUGAGGGUGUCCAUCACCUCGCCCAUAUCCUGCACCUUACGCUUAAGUCGCCCUAGCUUCAGUACCAGAGGCUCGUAAUGGCAAUUUUUUUCCAUAAUUAGCACUGCCUGAGCCGCCGAGAUGCCGUGCGAUGAAUGAAUGACCUCCACAACUCGUCGUGUCCAAUGAUGGGCCGACUCGUCCGGUCGUUGAACGCAGUGUUGUAAGUCGACGAUGGUCAUCGGGCCUUUAAUAGUCCCUCGGAAAUUUUUGAUGAAGCGCUCCUUUAACUCUGCCCAAGUGUUGAUGGAGUUAGGUGGCAGGUUUUUUAACCACGCACGCACCGUUCCUUCAAGCAUCAUGGUGAAAUACUUGACACAAACCCCCUCGUUCACGUCGAGCAUGUCCAUCACAAGUUCAUAACUCUCGACCCAUGACCCUAGUUCGAGAUCUGGUGUGUAAUUGGGUACCUUCCUUGGUCCUUUGAAAUCCUUCGGCAUCUGCUCAUCGCGUAGAGCGGGCAUGAGACACGACACCCCGAUGUGCCUGUCUCCGGCAUCGAGCGGUGCGGGAGGUGUCUGGGUAUAAGCCGGAUAGCCUUGACCCGCCGCGGCUGCCAUCUCCAUCUGACGCGCGGCUCGCGCUGCAUCCACAAUGUCUUGGGCUCGUGUAUCCGGCACCCCGAGCGGGUUGGUCUGAGGCAGACGCCGUUGCCCACUGGUCACCGCGGGUUGGUCCUCGUGGCGACUCCUUGUGUGACUCGCCUGGGGUGUGGAGUGUAACCAAUCAAGGUUGUGUGAGUUUGCGCGUGUUGGACCACUGUUGUCUUCAGCAUCUCGAUGGCGUUUCUUGCCUCCACCUUGGCCGGGGAGUUUCCGUAGAUCGGGAGGCACUCCAAGUGGCGGGUUGCCACCAGCACGUUGUCCACGGGAUUUGAGAAGUGGCCUCGUGGUGUCUGGAAGCGAGGUGCGUGGGCAUCCAUUGGUUGAGGUGGUGGCGGGUUAGGCAGUUGAACUGGACCUCACGUUGGAGCAGCGUGCAAGGGUCAAUCGGGUCCCACCCCAGGAGUGUGUAGGAUGUCGAAGAGGCGAGUUGGAUGUAGAUCGAUUGGGAGGUGCCCGUGAUGCCUCCUCUGAUGAAUAGUAUCGGACGCGCGUUGUUGUCUCUCGAGUCGCCAGCCUUCGGUGUUCAUCCGUUCCAUCUCUGCGGUGAUCCGGGCCUGCUGUGUCGCCAUCCUGGUGGCUUCCGCGUCCACUUCCCGCUGCCCUUUGGCUGUCUCUUCCCGCAGCUUCGUCAGCUCGGCGUUGAUUGCUUCCUGAUUCCCUUCCGUCAUGACGAUUGUGAUGAGUCUGGUGAUUUCUGCCAUCAAGUCCGCCACGGCUUGAGCCGGAGUUUUCGACGUCUUGCCUGUCUCAUUGUUGCCGGACGGGUUUGGCUGAGGUUGUGCCGCUCCCUCCAUGUAGACGGCGAUUUCUCAACGGGAUCUUUCGAGGAUCUCGGGGUCCAUCGCCAGCGACAAUCCUUUGAGUUGUCCUUCAUGAAGGGGAUGGAUUGAAUCUGUGUUGCCCAUGGAUGACUCUUCAUCAGAUUUGACGGGGGUGAUCUCCUGGACUGCCGAUUCGUCUUGUACGUUGGCUCCUUGCAUAAAACCGAUCAAAACAUGGCGUUUCCUUUCCUGACGAGUGAUGGGGAAUGCUAACCUGGAUGGCUCGACGAUGUCGGUGGAGGUGUCCGGCUCAGGCACGGGUGCUCCAAUCAUGCCGAUGAAGAUGUUGAUCUUGCCGAAGGGGACCCUGUAACCAGAUUCGACUGAGUCGGCUUCAGGCCCCCAUAACGAUUUGUUGAUAUAGUACUUUCCGCGGAGGCUCUUCUUCAUGAUCCCGACCGCAUAGCGUCCUGACCCUGGUAGGGCUCCCAUUGAGAACUCAACUCCAUCGUGUGCAGGCCCCAUGGUGGGCGCCAACUGUCGUGGUUUUGUCAUGGCAGAUGUCCUCGUGAAAGGACUUAAUGAAGGAGCCAUCACACCUUGGUGGCGACUCAAAGGGGGUGAGAGAAAGCAAGACUCAGAUUUACCCAGGUUCGGCCCCUCGUGUGGAGGUAAAAUACUACGUCCUGCUUUGUGUAGAUUGAUGAUGGUUUCGAUUACAAGGAGGGCGUAACUCGCCUGACCUAGCUCUUGAUGAUUUCUUACCUUCUCUAUCUUCCCCACGGACUCACCUUUAUAUACAGGUCGAGGCCCUAGGAUUUACAAGAGUCCUAUCCAUGCUACAGAUCGUGGUCUUCCUUAUCUCUAAGUCGUCGUGCUUUCCAAGACUGGAAACCUCCUUGGCGGUCUAUCGUCUGUAUAGCUCCUGAACCGCCAUCCGGCUCCUGGGCCCCUUGGGCCAAGGCUUGUAUUACCAAAGGAUGAGUCGCCCCUUUAGUGACCCGGCCCAGCUAGGGAGGGCUACACCGCAGGUAAUAUCACCAACACCAUCCGAAGAUCAAGCUUAGAGAAAACCUUGGCCACUUUCAAUUUCUCAAACAAUUAGUUGAUGUUGGGAAGUCGAUACUUGUUCCUGAUUUUCUUCUUAUUAAAUGGGAGGUAAUUGACGUAAAGUCCGUCCGUGCCAUCUUUCUUCUUGACAAAAAGAAUACCACAACCCCAAAGUGAAGAACUUUAUGUAAUCAAACCCACACAUUCUUGUUCAUCUGGCUACUUCUUCCACUAUUUCAGCUCUUUAGGACCAUGUUUAUAAGGAUACUUCCAACCCGGUUCUGUUCCAGGAUCGAGUUCAAUCACAAAAUCUACUAGCCAGUGAGGAGGGAAUCCUCGCAAUUCUUCUAGAAAGACAUCUUCAUACUCACAAAUGGCAAGAACUUGAGAUAUAGCUGAUAUUUCACCCUUCUCAUUGAGAGAAAAUAGACGAAUCGUAUCAUCGCGAGCAGCGAAAAUGAGCACGUCUUCUAAAGGAUGAGUCAAUUUGAUUUCUUUGAAUGCACAAUUAACAUAAGCAUUGUUCAUCGCAAUAAAAUCCAUGCCAAGAAUUAUAUCAAUAUCAAAAUUUCCGAGAACAAUUGGUGAGCCUAGAAAAGAAUAGUUUCACAUCUUUGUAGAAACAUCUGGAGCUACAAUCUUCACAUGCAUGAAUAAACUCGGGCAAACCAGUGACUAGGUUCUAAGCAACUACUCAUGAUGUAGAUGAUGCUUGGUUGCAAACGGUUUAGAUAUGAAUGAAUGCGAGGCAGCACUUUCAAACAACACUUUUGUAGGAAUAGAAUUAACCAAGAGAUUACCCAUGAUCACUUCUCACGACUCUUCUUCUUGAGCUGAGUUGACCACGUUCACUCUUGCCGACUUGGGAUUAUGCUUCACUAUUGCAUGUCCUCAAGGCCUGAUUGGAGGAGGAGGUGGAAGAUUCCACUCGUUGGUACACUUGUUAGAGUAGUGACCCUUAUGACGACACUUGUGAAAAGUAACCGCUAAGAGCGGGCGUAAGUGACCUGGAGGAGGUCCUAACUUAGGCUCCUGAUGCUUCUCCUUGUAUCCCAGUUGGGUGGGUGGGAAGAUCCACGCCCACUGUUCCGCUUGAGCUGCUGGGGAGGACGAAGCGGCGUAGGAGGAGGAACCUCAUACUUCUCCUGCUUAGGAACAAUCUGAGCUGAGGAUGAAGAUGGAUGAGAGUCCAUGAACCGCUUACUUGAAUUCUCGACCCUAAACAGAGUGCAUUCAGUCUUGAGAGCCAAGUUAUGGAACUAAUCAAACUCAGGAGGCUCGUGCAGAGCAAGAGGAAGCUGAAGAUCAUCCCUGAGACCACCUCUGAAAUGAUAAAUCUUGCUCUUCUCAUGAGGAACACCCUACUUAGCAUAGCGGCCAAGGUUCUGGAAGUCGAUGUUAUACUGAUAGACAGACGAGCUACCUUGCUUGACAUUCCUAAACUUCUCACGCAUGCCCUCAAUGAAUCUUUAAGGAAUAUGAUGAGCUGUGAAAUCACAUCAAAAGUCAUCCCAACUAAUCAAACGAACACCUCUAGAAUCCUUGAGCUGCUACCACCACUCUGCUGCCUGACAUUUCAGAUGGAAAGUUGAAAAUCUGACAUAGUCCUCAGGCCUGACAUUGCUGCACUAAAAAUGCUUGAUCAUUUCACGGAGCCAAUCGUCGGCAUCAAAAGGCUGAUAACAAUAGCUGAAGGACUUGAGUUCAUUUACAAGGAACUGACUUAGAGAAAAAGAUGACAGCUGGUUGUUGAAAUUUCAUUGUUAGCCUUGAUUCCUUUCUUGCAUCAUCUCAAGCAGCAUCUCCGUGUUCGCAUUGGUCGUGGCCAUCACACAUCCUGAGGAGGAGGAGGGGUGUUGGAAGUUCUGACUGCUCCCCAUCAUGACUCGGAUUCCGGCGAGUUGCUGGAGCCAUCCUUGAGAUGGACAUGAAUAUUAGAUCACAUAUGAAAAGAUGAAGCUGACAAACUGAAUCAAAGGCUUGAAAUAUUGCAACAUGUAGUCUAAGCAAUUUGCAUUCAAACUAGAAUUAGUAAGAACGUCUCCACAAAUUAGUGAUGACAUCAUUAGAUUCAAAAGCCACUUGCAAUUCUCAAGUUUUGAGCUAAAAAUUUCUCGAAACAAAUGUAUAUCCCUACAUACAUCUGAUGAAAGAAUUUACUAGGUGACUACUUGAAUUUCCACCUGAGAAUUUUCGAAAUCUUUCAUGGUUAUGCCAUCAGGUUGCGGGUCCUGGAACCUACUCUACGUAAUUAGCUGCAUAACCUUUCCUACAACUGUCAAUACAUAUCCGAGAAGUUCUGCAAACUCAUCUGUCUCAGACCUUCAAAACAACAAUGAUACCAGACCUGGUAGAUCAUCCGACCUAUAUCCACCAGUACUGGGGAAACGUCAUGGCACUGUUUGCCACCAAGCAAAGUAUUGAAGCAUUUCGAUGCGUGUAUCCUCAGAUACUGAGGAAGUUCCAUGAUAAGAUGUAUCGAAAACCCCAUGGAGCUCUACUCCUAGAAAACAGGAGGUACCAAGUACAAAACUCUCUCACAUCGACAUCAUAUAGAUUCCAAAAUACUCGCGUGAUCCUAAUUUGUUUAAUGAGAAAAGGGCUAGAACUAAAAUUCCUAAGUCGUAAUUCCACACCAGAACAAGGAAGAGGAGAAAAAAGAAUCCCGCUCUCUGAUAAAACUUGACUCAAAGUAGUUUUUCACUAGACUCGACUCGGCCAAGUUUAAUGAAGCAAAGGGCUCCUAUGGUCAUAAGCCUCUGAUUAUCAACUUGUAACGUCCAAGAUGCGACACUAUCCGUGUUUGGGGACGAGGCCUUAAUAUGGAUAGAGAUGCGUCUCAGCAUACAUUUAAAGAGGAGAUGAGUAUAUGAGUUGGCUUACACUCGCCACAUGGAAAUUAUAAGUCAUACAACAUAUAUUCAAAUUUCGAGAAGACACGUGAGGGUGUCCUAGACUAGGGGGUACUCACCAUGUCGUCUCCCGAUCAGUGGGUCGGUGUGGGGACCCCGACUUACGAGUGGAUAUCGCCGAAUGUAUGUGCUCAGUGAUCCCAGAGAUCAAUGCUCACCGAACACACAGAUACUGAAUAAUAAGAGUCUUACGUCCAACAUACCAUUUGAUACAUCAAAUGACCAUCAUGGUCAAGUCUCACAUAGGUAGGGCCUAUAAGGCCAAUCACUCCGAUACAACUGCUAGCAGAAAUCUUGUAAAUAAACGGGAGCCCAUGCCAUCAGCCUUCACCAAGAGGCAUUCUGACUAGGAAGCGACCUAGUUCGCAUGUCCGUCUCUGGUGAUGAAUUCUUCUCCAAACUCUGGUUCUUCCAUGUCUGGUCAAUAACAUAACAACUGGUAAGACAGUGAGUACUUUGAAUGUCCUCAAAAAUAGCCCACGAUAUGGAUAAUGCAGUUGGUAUGAUAGUAAGUGGUGUGCAACAUUUGCGGAAAGCAAGCUUUGAAGGUAAAUAAACAUGAUCAUAGAUGGGUAUGGAUAUACAUCAUAAGAUAGAUGGUAUUCACAAGAACAAGUUACAUAUAUCAAGAUAUGUUUUGUGGGCUGAACACUUCAGGUUCACCCGAUAUGCCAAGUCAUCAAACUUGUCAUAUCCUCUUACUCACAUAACACCAU
Molecule: long non-coding RNA, 86682 nt
Filed under: Hordeum vulgare
Lineage: Eukaryota; Viridiplantae; Streptophyta; Magnoliopsida; Poales; Poaceae
Description: long non-coding RNA (HVUL_LNC012271)
Source: RNAcentral